Molecule: long non-coding RNA, 67377 nt
Filed under: Hordeum vulgare
Lineage: Eukaryota; Viridiplantae; Streptophyta; Magnoliopsida; Poales; Poaceae
Description: long non-coding RNA (HVUL_LNC015848)
Source: RNAcentral
GCCAGCUCACCUCUAGAGGAGCGCACAAUUCGUGUGCAAGCCCUUGCAGCCCCGUCAGCUAAUUCGGUUCCCUGCUAAUCGCCAGAGGAUGUCAUCAUCGAUCUUAUCCUUGGGCUCUUAUGGGACCGAAGUCGGGCGCCUAUCUAAGGACGCCCUCGAGUUCUAUGAGCACUCCAUCCUCCUCCAUGGACCCUCAGCUAGCUCCCCAACGCCACAACUCGACCAAGGCCGCCCGCCCUGCUCGCCUCCGAUUGCACCGCCGCCGUCAACUUUCCGGUCAAUUGCAGCAACCCGAGCCCCUCCUGCUCCACCUUAGCCACCAUUAGCUCAACCACGGCCCCUAGUAUCCACCCCAUGCUAAAUCGCAUUGGUAAUGAACCGUUGGCAGAAGCCAGUGCGCCGGAGCCUCCCUUCCGCCAUGGUCUGUGGUGUGCUCACUCUCGAGCUCUCUGCGACUCCUAAUGCUCCUAUACGAUGAGGCCCUUCCCCAUGAGCAUGCUGGUGUGCCCUGCUCCGGGAAUUGUACUUCCUAGCACCAGCAAUCGCCGUCGGCAUCAUCCCUCCCCUCUACCCAUGUGCGCGAGGGGAAGAAGACGAACCCCAUAGGUGGGUUCCCCUGUCCGCGAGCCAGCCUCGACACCGAUGGAGCAGAUCCCGUGGUGCAUUUUCUCUUUAGAGAUGUGUGUGAUCUGGAGUGUAUUUUCCCUUUCCCGAAAACAUAUUUGUUUUCGAAAAUGUUUUCUUCUCUAUUUUAUUAAAAAACAAAAUUUGGACGAAACUUUGACUGCUUAUAACUUUUAAACUACAACUGCAAACGAGUUGGUUCUUUUUCUGUUGUGUCUCAAAUUUCACCUAAUUUAUUGUCAUAUUUAUUUCAAAAACUUUCAAACAACUUUUAUACACUAUUUUGGAAAUGUGUGUUGAUUCCGAUAAUUUCAAAAAUAGAAAAAAUUGGAGGGAAGAAAUUUUCAAGAUUUUUGGGGUGCACACCACCCUUCUUCGGACCAAAGGCAAGCAUCUUGAACCCAAAUUUGUCUUAAGUGUGUGAUGGCUUGUUGUGGUGAAUGGAUGCAUGGUUAUGCUACUUAGAUAAAAACUCUCCAUAGCAACAUAUUUUGCGCCAAAGCAUGUGAUGGGUACUUAUUUGCUGUUGAGCAUAUAAUACUAGUGAUGAGUGCGUACUACCUGAUGCCAUGUAUCUCAUGUGGGUUUGGACAACAUCGUAGGAAGGUUUGUCAUGGUAAACAUGUGACUGUGAAACCGAUAUCUCGUGGCAACGAUAAUGAUCUGUGAGUGCAUAUCAAGGUGUGAUGGUGGUAACCCAAUUGAAUAACAUUCAGGAAUUUUGUGGUGCUAACACUUGCAUGCAAACUUAAUCCCCCGAGUAGAACGUAGAUCGGGUCUUGUGCCACUAACCUUCAUAUUGAUUUGUGCUACUACUUGUCCGUACGACAGGUAGGGUGUGGUUGAGUAAUUUGUCGACCCCUUUCCUUGCACACACCAUACAGACAGGCCAUAGUGGAAGAUACCAGUUGCAACUGGUAGGCAUGCCACUUGGUCCGGCGGCAUGGGUGUUUCCGGCCUGGGGAUUAGAGGGGGCACCCCUUAGUAGCACGUGGUAUAAAUGUGAUCCCCUUCUAAGUGGAGAUUGUGAUCUUCCCACUGAAAGUCUUACUUAACGAGUGACAUGGGUAAUCCCACGCAUCGGGAAGUUAAACUAGUGUCUGCAGGUCAGGUGUGUUUUCAACUCAAAGACCGUAAUCAGAAUUAGUUGACAUCUCUUGUUGACUAAAGAAAUCCGUUACUCAUGGGUAAAGAGUACACCCUCUUCAGAGUUAAAUAUCUAUUCGAAUAGCCAUGUCCGUGGGUAAGGACUACAUUUUGGGAUGGAUCAAAUUCUGUCGAAGUGUCGGUGUUCGGAGGAAUUAAUUGAAACAUGAUGAUGAUCAUGAACGAGUAUGAUAACCAUAAUGAUUAUGAAUUUUGAUGUGGACUACUCAUUUCUGGUAUAUGAAUUUUUGAGUAUCCUUCGGACGGUUCUACCUCCUAGAUAAUCUAUGUUAUUAUUAUCAUAUAAGUCCUUUAUGUGGUGUCGCUUAGACACCUGACUGUGGCAACUAUUAUUUUUAUCAUAUAAGCCCUUUAUGUGGUGUCACUUAGACGCCAACUGUGGCAACUAUUAUGAUUGUGUCAUUUUGUUGUUAUUGUUUUUUGCAUGUCAAGUAUACGUUCCUAUGACCAUGAGAUCAUGUAACUCGUUGACACCGGAGGAAUUCCUUGUGUGUAUCAAACGUUGCAUCAUUAUUGGGUGAUUAUAAAGGUACUCUACAGGAAUCUCCGAAGGUGUCCUUUGAGUUAGCACGGAUCAAGACUCGGAUUUAUCACUCCGUGUGACGUAGAGGUAUCUCGGGGCCCACUCGGUAAUACAACAUCACAAACAAGCCUUGCAAGCAAUGUGACUAAAGAGUUAGCCAUGAGAUAUUGUAUUAUAGAACGAGUAAAGAGACUUGUUGGUAAUGAGAUUGAAAUAGGUAUGGUUAUACCAACGAUCGAAUCNNNNNNNNNNNNNNNNNNNNNNNNNNNNNNNNNNNNNNNNNNNNNNNNNNNNNNNNNNNNNNNNNNNNNNNNNNNNNNNNNNNNNNNNNNNNNNNNNNNNNNNNNNNNNNNNNNNNNNNNNNNNNNNNNNNNNNNNNNNNNNNNNNNNNNNNNNNNNNNNNNNNNNNNNNNNNNNNNNNNNNNNNNNNNNNNNNNNNNNNNNNNNNNNNNNNNNNNNNNNNNNNNNNNNNCGAUAAGAUCUUCGUAGAAUAUGUAGGAUCCAAUAUGGACAUCUAGGUCCCGCUAUUGGAUAUUGAUUGGAGAGUGUCUCGGUCAUGUCUACAUAGUUCUCGAACCCGCAGGGUGUACACACUUAAGGUUAGGUGACGUUUUCGGUAUAGGUGAAUUAUUGAUGUUGGUAACUGAAUAUUGUUCAGAGUCCCGGAUGAGAUCCGUGACGUCACGAGUGUCUCCGAAAUGGUCCAGAAACAAAGAUUGAUAUAGACGAUUGUUGCAUUUGGCUUCCGAAAAUAUUUCGGGAACUACAGGUAAAGUAUCGAGAGUGACAAAUGGGUUCUAGGGUUUUACCGGAAGGGGCCACCCACCCGAGAGAGGACCUAACAGGCCCAUGGUUAGUGCACCAAACUUUAGUGGGCUGGUGAGGCCAGUCCAAUAAGCCUAUUUCGGCCAAUGCAAAAAUAAAGAGGGAAAAAAGAAGGAAGGAGGUGGACAAGAUGGGAAGGAGUCCUCCACCAAACCGAAUUGGAGGAGGACUCCUCCCUCGUUGCCUCAGCCGAAGCCUCCUCCUUGGAGUACGAGGCAAGCCACCCUCACCUUGGUUCCUCCUAUAUAUAGUGGAGGUUUGAGAGGGUUUUGGAACUUCAAGCCUUUGUGCAGCCCUCUCUCCCUGCACUACUUCGUGACACCUCAUAGAUAGAUCGUUACGGCACGACAAAUCCCUGCCGGAGUAGAUUCACCAUCAUCACCGCCACACCGUCGUGUUGCCGAAGAAUUCAGCUACCUCUACAUCUCUCUUGCUGGAUCAAGAAGGCGGAGAGCGUCAUCGAGCUGGACGUGUGCUGAACACGGAGGUGUCGUCCGUUCGGCGCUAGAUCGGGACGAAUCAUGGGAUGGUGGCGAUUUGGAUCGCGAAAACGUUCCACUACAUCAACCGCGUUUCUUAGUGCUCCCCGCUUAGCGAUAUACAAGGGUAUGUGGAUAUGAUAUCCCUCUCAUAGAUGAUCAUCACCAUGAUAGGUCUUUGAGUGCGUUGGGAAAUUUUGUUUCCCAUGCAACGUUCCCCAAUAGUGGCAUCACGAGCUAGGUUCAUGCGUAGAUGAUAUCUCGAGUAGAACACAAAAGAGUUUGUGGGCGUUGAUAUUCAAUUUGUUGCCCUCCUUAGUAUUUUCUUGAUCCAACGACAUUGUUGGAUUGAAGCGGCCCGGACCAACUUUACUCAUACGCUUAUGAGAGACCAGUUUCAUCGACUUACAUGCAACUUGUUGCAUAAAGAUGACUGGCGGGUGUGUGCUUCUUCAACGUUAGUUGAAUCGGAUUUGACCGAGGCGGUCCUUGGAGAAGGUUUAAUAGCAAUUCGCAUAUCACCGCUGUGGCUUUGCGUAAGUAAGAUGCGAUCAUACUAGAUACCCAUAGGAGCCAUGUAAAACAUGCAACAACAAAUUAGAGGAUGUCUAACUUGUUUUUGCAGNNNNNNNNNNNNNNNNNNNNNNNNNNNNNNNNNNNNNNNNNNNNNNNNNNNNNNNNNNNNNNNNNNNNNNNNNNNNNNNNNNNNNNNNNNNNNNNNNNNNCAGAACACUCGGGUUAAACUUGACGAGCCUAGCUAGCAUGUACAUACAUGGCCUUGAAACACAAGAGACCAAAAGGUAGAGCAUGAAUCAUAUAGUUGAUAUGAUCAACAUGCAGAUGUUCACCACUGAAACUAUACUCAACUCACGUGAUGAUCGGACUUGAGUUAGUGAAUUUUGAUCAUGCGACACUCAAAUGACUAGAGGGAUGUCUAUUUGAGUAGGAGUUUAUUAGUAAUAUGAUUAGCUAAACUCAAUUGUAUUGAACAUAGUCUAAGUAAUCUUUGCAAAAUUUUAUGUUGUAUAUCAAUGGGUCGCACAGUAGCAACCCUGAAUUUUAAUACGUUCCUAGAGAAAGCUAAGCUGAAAGAUGAUGGAAGCAACUUUGUUGACUGGGCUCGAAAUUUGAGGCUUAUCCUCAAGCUGGCCAAAAGCAAUAUGUGCUUGAUGCCGCGCUAGGUGAUGCACCACCCACUACGGCAACCCAAGAUGUUUUGAACGCUUGGCAAGUGUGUAAGGAUGACUACUCACUAGUUCAGUGUGUAGUUUUGUAUGGCUUAGAACCGGGACUUCAAAGACGUUUUGAACGUCAAGGAGCAUAUGAGAUGUUCCAGGAGUUGAAGUUUAUCUUUGAGAAGAAUGCCCGGAUCGAGAGGUAUGAGACCUCCGAUAAGUUAUAUGCUUGCAAAAUGGAGGAGAAUUCAUCUGUCCGUGAACACAUGCUCAUAAUGUCUGGGUACUCUAACCGACUAUGUGAACCGGGGAUUGAACUCUCGUAAGAAGCUAGCACUCAUCGAAUUCUUCAGUCACUGCCACCUAGCUAUAAGAGCUUCGUGUUGAACUAUAACACACAAGGGAUGAGUAAUUCACCCGACGAGUUAUUUGCGAUGCUGAAAGUCACUGAGUCACAAAUCCGGAAAGAACAUCAAGUGUUGAUGGUCAAUCAGACCAGUAGUUUCAAGAAAAACGGCAAAGGCAAGAAGGGUAACUCCAAGAAGAGUGGCAAAGCUGUUGCCCCUCCGACGAAGAAACCCAAGGCUGGACCUAAGCUAAAAACUGUGUGCUAUUAUUGCAAGCAGACCGGUCACUAGAAGUGCAACUGCCCCAAGUAUCUAGCCGAUAAGAAGGCGGCUAACACCAAACAAGGUAUAUUUGAUAUACAUGGUAUUGAUGUGUACCUCACCAACUCUCGUAGUAGUGCCUGCGUAUUUGAUACCGGUUCUGUUGCUCACAUUUGCAACUCGAAAUAGGAACUGCUGAAUAAACGAAGGCUAGCGAAGGAUGAAAUGACAAUGUGCGUGGGAAAUGGUUCCAAGGUUGAUGCGAUCGCCGUCGGCACGGUCUCAAUUCAAUUACCAUCGGGAUUAGUGAUGAACUUAAAUAAUUGUUAUUUAGUGCCUGCGUUGAGCAUGAACAUUAUAUCUGGAUCUUGUUUAUUGCGAGACGAUUACCCAUUUAAGUCAGAGAAUAAUGGUUGUUCUAUUUAUAUGAGUAAUAUAUUUUAUUGUCAUGCACCCAAUGUAAGGGUUUGUUCGUAACAUUGAGACAAAAAGAUGUAGAGUUAACAAUGAUAGUGCCACUUUCUUGUGGCACUGCCGCUUUGGUCAUAUUGGUGUCAAGCGCAGGAAGAAACUCCAUGCUGAUGGACUUUCGGAGUCACUUGAUUUUGAAUCACUUGACACAUGCGAACCAUGUCUCAUAUGCAAGAUGACUAAGACUCCGUUCUCUGGAACAAUGCAGCGUUCAAGUGACUUGUGGGAGAUCAUACAUACUGAUCUGUGCGGACCAAUGAGCAUAGAGGCGCGCAGCGGAAUCGUUAUUUUCUCACCUUCACUCACGAUUUGAGUAGGUAUGGCUAUAUCUACUUGAUGAAGCACAGCUCUGAAACGUUUGAAAAGUUCCAACAAUUUCAGAGUGAAGUUGAAAAUCAUCGUAGCAAGAAGAUCAAGUUCCUACGAUCUGAUUGAGGAGGUGAAUAUGUGAGUUACGAGUUUGGUGCCCACUUAAGACAAUGUGGAAUUGUUUCACAGUUAACACCACCUGGCACACCACAGCGUAAUUGUGUGUCCGAACGUCGUAAUCGUACUUUAUUGUAUAUGAUGCGUUCUAUGAUGUCUCUUACCGAUUUGCCAUUAUCAUUUUGGGGCUGUGCAUUGGAGAUAGAUGCAUUCACUUUAAAUAGGGCACCAUCAAAAUCUGUUGAGAUGACGCCAUAUGAGCUGUGGUAUGGCAAGAAGCCAAAGUUGUCAUUUCUUAAAGUUUGAGAAUGUGAUGCUUAUGUCAAAAAGCUUCAGCCUAAANNNNNNNNNNNNNNNNNNNNNNNNNNNNNNNNNNNNNNNNNNNNNNNNNNNNNNNNNNNNNNNNNNNNNNNNNNNNNNNNNNNNNNNNNNNNNNNNNNNNUGACAUAUUGCUGAUUGGAAACAAUAUAGAGUUUUUGUAAACGUAAAGGCUUACUUGAAUAAAAGUUUUUCAUUGAAAGAUCUAGGAGAAGCUUUUUACAUAUUGGGCAUAAAGAUCUAUAGAGAUAGGUCAAGGAGCCUAAUAGCUCUUUCAUAAAUCACAUACCUUGAUAAAGUUUUGAAGAAGUUCAAAAUGGAACAAUCCAAGAAGGGGUUCUUGCCUGUGUUACAAGGUAUAAAGUUGAGUAAGACUCAAUGUCAAGUAACUGCAGAAGAUAGAGAAAAGAUGAGUGUCGUCCCUUAUGCUUCAGCCAUAGGGUCUAUCAUGUAUGCAAUGUUGUGCACAAGACCGGAUGUCAGCCUAGACAUAAGUAUGACAGGCAGGUUUCAAAGUGAUCCAGGAGUGGAACACUGGGAGGCGGUCAAGAAUAUUCUGAAGUACCUGAAAAGGACUAAGGAAAUGUUUCUCGUUUAUGGAGGUGACAAAGAGCUCGUCGUAAAGGGUUACGUCGAUGCAAGCUUUGACACUGAUCCGGAUGACUCUAAGUCUCAAACUGGAUACGUAUUUAUUCUUAACGGGGGUGUGGGAAGCUGGUGAAGUUCCAAGCAAAGCGUCGUAGCUGAUUCUGCAUGCGAAGUGGAGUACAUAGCUGCCUCAGAGGCGGCUAAGGAGGGUGUCUCGAUGAAGCAGUUCAUGUCGCAUCUUGGAGUAGUGCCCAGUACACUGGAACCAAUCAAUCUGUUCUAUGACAAAACUCGUGCCAUUGCUCUAGCCAAGGAACCAAGGUUUCACAAGAGGACCAUACACAUAAAGCGAUUCUUCAAUGCCAUCUGCGAUUACAUCAAGGAGGAGGACAUAAAUAUUUUCAAAGUGCAGACAGAUCAGAAUGUUGCAGAUCCGCUGACUAAACCUCUUCCACGAACAAAGCAUGAUAAACACCAGAACUGUAUGGGUGUUAGAUACAUUACAUUCUAAAUCACAUAGAGAUGUGAAGCUAGAUUAUUGACUCUAGUUCAAGUGGGAGACUAUUGGAAAUAUGCCCUUGAAACAAUAAUAAAAUAGUUAUUAUUAUAUUUCCUAUUUCAAGAUAAUCGUUUAUUGUGCAUGCUAUAAUUGUAUUGAAUGGAAACAUAAAUGCAUGUGUGGAUAUAUAGACAAAACAAUGUCCCUAGUGAGCCUCUAGUUGAAUAGCCUAUUGGUCAAGGAUGGUUAAGGUUUCCUAGCCAUAGACAAGUUUUCUCACUUGAUGACGAGAUCACAUCAUUAGGAGAAUGAUGUGAUGGACAAGACCCAAACUAUAAACGUAGCAUAUGAUCAUGUCAUUUUGUUGCUAUUGUUUUCAGCAUGUCAAGUAUACAUUCCUAUGACCAUGAGAUCAUGUAACUCACUAACACCGGAGGAAUGCCUUGUGUGUAUCAAACGUUGCAACAUUACUUGGUAAAGGUACUCUACAAGCAUCUCCGAAGGUGUGUGCUGCGUUAUCAAGGAUCAAGACUGGGAUUUGUCACUACUUGUGACGAGGAGGUAUCUCAGGGCCCAGUCGGUAAUACAACAUCACAAACAAGCCUUGCAAGCAAUGUGACUAAAGAGUUAGUCACGGGAUCUUGUAUUACGGAACGAGUAAAGAGAUUUGCGGAUAACGAGACUGAAAUAGGUAUGGCGAUACCGAUGAUCGAAUCUCGGGAAAGUAACAUACCGAAGGACAAAGGGAAUGAUAUACGUGAUUGUGUGAAUCCUUGACAUAGAGGUUUAGCCGAUAAGAUCUUCUUAUAAUAUGUGGGAUCCAAUAUGGACGUCUAGUUACUGCUAUUGGAUAUUGACCGGAGAGUGUCUCAGUCAUGUCUACAUAGUUCUCGAACCCGCAGGAUCUGCACACUUAAGGUUAGGUGACGUUUUCGGUAUAGUUGAAUUAUUGAUGUUGGUAACUGAAUGUUGUUUGGAGUCCCGGAUGAGAUCCCAGAUGUCACGAGUGUCUCCAAAAUGGUCCAGAAAUGAAGAUUGAUAUAUAGGAUUGUUGCAUUUGGCUUCCGGAAAGAUUUCGGGCANNNNNNNNNNNNNNNNNNNNNNNNNNNNNNNNNNNNNNNNNNNNNNNNNNNNNNNNNNNNNNNNNNNNNNNNNNNNNNNNNNNNNNNNNNNNNNNNNNNNGGUAUGCUUGUGAUGUGAUAUGGCCAAAGACAUGAUAUGGUGUAUUGGAUGUAUGAGAUGAUCAUGUUGUAAUAGUUAAAUAUCGACUUGCAUGUCGAUGCUACGGCAACCGGCAGGAGCCAUAGGGUUGUUUAUAAAUUUAUUUUCCGCUUGCAGAUGCUCUCGCUAUAUUGCUAGGCAGUAGCUUUAGUAGUAAUAGCAUAGAUAGAGUGACAACCAUGAUGGUAGCACAAUGAUGGAGAUCAUGGUGUGGCACCGGUGACGAUGGAGAUCAUGCCGGUGCUUUGGUGAUGGAGAUCAAGAAGGACGAUUUCAUGGCCAUAUCAUGUCACUGAUGAUUUGCAUGUGAUGUUAAUCCUUUUAUGCACCUUAUUUUGCUUGGAACGACGGUAGCAUUAUAAGGUGAUCCCUCACUAAUAUUUCAAGAUAAAAUUGUGUUUUCCUCAACUGUGCACCAUUGAUCGGGUGUGAUGGACUCAACGUUCACAUACAACGGGUACAAAACAGUUGCACACGUAGAACACCCGGGUUAAACUUGACGAGCCUAGCUAGCAUGUACAUACAUGGCCUUGAAACACAAGAGACCAAAAGGUCGAGCGUGAAUCAUAUAGUUGAUAUGAUCAACAUGCAGAUGUUCACCACUGAAACUAUACUCAACUCACGUGAUGAUCGGACUUGAGUUAGUGAAUUAUGAUCAUGCGACACUCGAAUGACUAGAGGGAUGUCUAUUUGAGUAGGAGUUUAUUAGUAAUAUGAUUAGCUAAACUCAAUUGUAUUGAACAUAAUCUAAGUAAUCUUUGCAAAAUUUUAUGUUGUAUAUCAAUGGUCGCACAGUAGCAACCCUGAAUUUUAAUACGUUCCUAGAGAAAGCUAAGCUGAAAGAUGAUGGAAGCAACUUUGUUGACUGGGCUCAAAAUUUGAGGCUUAUCCUCCAAGCUGGCCAAAAGCAAUAUGUGCUUGAUGCUGCGCUAGGUGAUGCACCACCCACUACGGCAACCCAAGAUGUUUUAAACGCUUGGCAAGUGUGUAAGGAUGACUACUCACUAGUUCAAUGUGUAGUUUUGUAUGGCUUAGAACCGGGACUUCAAAGACGUUUUGAACGUCAAGGAGCAUAUGAGAUGUUCCAGGAGUUGAAGUUUAUCUUUGAGCAGAAUGCCCGGAUCGAGAGGUAUGAGACCUCCGAUAAGUUAUAUGCUUGCAAAAUGGAGGAGAAUUCAUCUGUCCGUGAACACAUGCUCAUAAUGUCUGGGUACUCUAACCGACUAUGUGAACCGGGGAUUGAACUCUCGUAAGAAGCUAGCACUCACCGAAUUCUUCAGUCACUGCCACCUAGCUAUAAGAGCUUCGUGUUGAACUAUAACACACAAGGGAUGAGUAAUUCACCCGACGAGUUAUUUGCGAUGCUGAAAGUCACUGAGUCACAAAUCCGGAAAGAACAUCAAGUGUUGAUGGUCAAUCAGACCAGUAGUUUCAAGAAAAACGGCAAAGGCAAGAAGGGUAACUCCAAGAAGAGUGGCAAAGCUGUUGCCCCUCCGACGAAGAAACCCAAGGCUGGACCUAAGCUAAAAACUGUGUGCUAUUAUUGCAAGCAGACCGGUCACUAGAAGUGCAACUGCCCCAAGUAUCUAGCCGAUAAGAAGGCGGCUAACGCCAAACAAGGUAUAUUUGAUAUACAUGGUAUUGAUGUGUACCUCACCAACUCUCGUAGUAGUGCCUGCGUAUUUGAUACCGGUUCUGUUGCUCACAUUUGCAACUCGAAAUAGGAACUGCUGAAUAAACGAAGGCUAGCGAAGGAUGAAGUGACGAUGCGCGUGGGAAAUGGUUCCAAGGUUGAUGAUCGCCGUCGGCACGGUCUCAAUUCAAUUACCAUCGGGAUUAGUGAUGAACUUAAAUAAUUGUUAUUUAGUGCCUGCGUUGAGCAUGAACAUUAUAUCUGGAUCUUGUUUAUUGCGAGACGAUUACCCAUUUAAGUCAGAGAAUAAUGGUUGUUCUAUUUAUAUGANNNNNNNNNNNNNNNNNNNNNNNNNNNNNNNNNNNNNNNNNNNNNNNNNNNNNNNNNNNNNNNNNNNNNNNNNNNNNNNNNNNNNNNNNNNNNNNNNNNNCCACACCCUUGUUGUUGAGAAUCCUUGGAUUUUCCCUGGUAGACCAUUGUUGCCAGACCAGUGAGGGCACAUUCUCUAAACUCCUCCAAGGUGGAGGAGAGUAUUUCCCCCUUUAUGGGGAUAUUUCCUCCGAGUCCCAUCACUCAUGUCUUAUUGACACCACGUAAGUGUACGUUAGUCCAGCAUCAUAUUUUCAUGAUGCUAUAUGAGUGACCGUGUGCUAUAUGAUUGUCUUGAUUGCACGUGCAUAUGAGUGACCUUGUUCCAUAUUUUCACCCCAUCUUUAUUUUUUUUCCUAAGGAAAUCUUGGGGACAAGAUUUAUUUUUAAGGGGGGUAGUGUUUGUGACGCCCCAAAAAUUUAACCAUAUUUGUACUAAUUAAAAUAUUGCCUCAAACAAAACUUUUGAAAAUGAAUUACUUCUUUGCUUAUUUGAGAACAUCUUCUCUAAAACUUUUCCCUCCAAGUAGACUUUUGAAAAGCAUUAUCGAUUUGUGUAUUGGUAUAAAUUCAUUCUAUUUCAUUUUUGGGGGGGGGGNNNNNNNNNNNNNNNNNNNNNNNNNNNNNNNNNNNNNNNNNNNNNNNNNNNNNNNNNNNNNNNNNNNNNNNNNNNNNNNNNNNNNNNNNNNNNNNNNNNNUUAGUUCAUGAUAAUCGUUUAUUAUCCAUGCUAUAAUUGUAUUGAUUGGAAACACAAUACUUGUGUGGAUACAUAGACAAAACACUGUCCCUAGUAAGCCUCUAGUUGACCAGCUCGUUGAUCAAGGAUGGUCAAGGUUUCUUGGCCAUAGGCAAGUGUUGUCACUUGAUAACGGGAUCACAUCAUUAGGAGAAUCAUGUGAUGGACUAGACCCAAACUAAUAGACAUAGCAUGUUGAUCGUGUCAUUUUGUUGCUACUGUUUUCUGCNNNNNNNNNNNNNNNNNNNNNNNNNNNNNNNNNNNNNNNNNNNNNNNNNNNNNNNNNNNNNNNNNNNNNNNNNNNNNNNNNNNNNNNNNNNNNNNNNNNNNNNNNNNNNNNNNNNNNNNNNNNNNNNNNNNNNNNNNNNNNNNNNNNNNNNNNNNNNNNNNNNNNNNNNNNNNNNNNNNNNNNNNNNNNNNNNNNNNNNNNNNNNNNNNNNNNNNNNNNNNNNNNNNNNNNNNNNNGUAACUGGGUGACUAUAAAGAUGCUCUACAGGUAUCUCCGAAGGUGUUCGUUGAGUUAGUAUGGAUCGAGACUGGGAUUUGUCACUCCGUGUGACGGAGAGGUAUCUCGGGGCCCACUCGGUAAUACAACAUCACACACAAGCCUUGCAAGCAAUGUGACUUAGUGUAAGUUGCGGGAUCUUGUAUUACGGAACGAGUAAAGAGACUUGCCGGUAAACGAGAUUGAAAUAGGUAUGCGGAUACUGACGAUCGAAUCUCGGGCAAGUAACAUACCGAAGGACAAAGGGAAUGACAUACGGGAUUAUAUGAAUCCUUGGCACUGAGGUUCAACCGAUAAAGAUCUUCGGAAUAUGUAGGAUCCAAUAUGGGCAUCCAGGUCCCGCUAUUGGAUAUUGACCGAGGAGUCCCUCGGGUCAUGUCUACAUAGUUCUCGAACCCGCAGGGUCUGCACACUUAAGGUUCGACGUUGUUUUAUGUGUAUUUGAGUUAUAUGGUUGGUUACCGAAUGUUGUUCGGAGUCCCGGAUGAGAUCACGGACGUCAUGAGGGUUUCCGGAAUGGUCCGGAAACGAAGAUUGAUAUAUAGGAUGACCUCAUUUGGUUACCGGAAGGUUUUUGUGCAUUACCGGAAAAGUUUCGGGCUCAUCGGUAGUGUACUGGGAGUGCCGGGAGGGGUGCCGGGGACCAUCAGGAGGGGUGUCACGCCCCAAGGGGUCUCAUGGGCUAUGGUAAGAGAUAAACCAGCCCCUAGUGGGCUGGAAUAAGUUCCCACUAAGGCCCAUAAGGUUUGAGAAGGAAAAAACACAAGGUGGAAAGAGUUUCCAUGUGGGAAGGUGGAAUCCUACUCCAAGUAGGAUUGGAGUAGGACUCCUCCACCUCCAAUUUUGGCCAAACCUUUAGGUUUUGAGGCUGCCCCCUCCCCUCCCUCCCUCCUAUAUAUACUGAGGUAUUAGGGCUGAUUUGAGACAACUUUUGCCACGGCGGCCCGACCACAUACCUCCACGGUUCUACCUCUAGAUCGCGUUUCUGCGGAGCUCGGGCGGAGCCCUGCUGAGAUUAGAUCACCACCAACCUCCGGAGCGCCGUCACGCUGCCGGAGAACUCAUCUACCUCUCCAUCUCUCUUGUUGGAUCAAGAAGGCCGAGAUCAUCGUCGAGCUGUACGUGUGCUGAACGCGGAGGUGCCGUCCGUUCGGCACUAGAUCGUGGGACUGUUCGCGGGAUGGUUCGCGGGGCGGAUCGAGGGACGUGAGGACGUUCCACUACAUCAACCGCGUUCACUAACGCUUCCGCUGUGUGAUCUACAAGGGUACGUAGAUCGGAAAUCCCCUCUCGUAGAUGAACAUCACCAUGAUAGGUCUUCGUGCGCGUAGGAAAAUUUUUGUUUCCCAUGCGACGUUCCCCAACAGUGGCAUCAUGAGCUAGGUUCAUGCGUAGAUGUCUUCUCGAGUUGAACACAAAAGUUUUUGUGGCCGGUGAUGUGCGUUUUUCUGCCCUCCUUAGUCUUUUCUUGAUUCUGCGGUAUUGUUGGAUCGAAGCGGCUCGAACCGACAUUACUCGUACGCUUACGAGAGACUGGUUUCAUCGCUACGAGUAACUCCGUUGCUCAAAGAUGACUGGUGGGUGUCAGUUUCUCCAACUUUAGUUGAAUCGGAUUUGACCGAGGAGGUCCUUGGAUGAGGUUAAAUAGCAACUCAUAUAUCUCCGUUGUGGUGUUUUCGUAAGUAAGAUGCGAUCCUACUAGAUACCCAUGGUCACCACGUAAAACAUGCAACAACAAAAUUAGAGGACGUCUAACUUGUUUUUGCAGGGUAUGCUUGUGAUGCGAUAUGGCCAACGAUGUGAUGUGAUAUAUUGGAUGUAUGAGAUGAUCAUGUUGUAAUAGUUAAUAUUGACUUUCACGUCGAUGGUACGGCAACCGGCAGGAGCCAUAGGGUUGUCUUUAAACUAACGUUUGUGCUUGCAGAUGCGUUUACUAUAUUUCUAGGACGUAGCUUUAGUAGUAAUAGCAUGAGUAGCAUGACAACCCCGAUGGAGACACGUUGAUGGAGAUCAUGAUGAUGGAGAUCAUGGUGUGACGCCGGUGACAAGAAGAUCGUGCCGGUGCUUUGGUGAUGGAGAUCAAGAAGCACAUGAUGAUGGCCAUAUCAUGUCACUUAUGAAUUGCAUGUGAUGUUAAUCCUUUAUGCACCUUAUCUUGCUUAGAACGACGGUAGCAUUAUGAGGUGAUCUCNNNNNNNNNNNNNNNNNNNNNNNNNNNNNNNNNNNNNNNNNNNNNNNNNNNNNNNNNNNNNNNNNNNNNNNNNNNNNNNNNNNNNNNNNNNNNNNNNNNNGCAGGGUCUGCACACUUUAGGUUCGACGUUGUUUUAUGCGUAUUUGAGUUAUAUGGUUGGUUACAGAAUGUUGUUCGGAGCCCCGGAUGAGAUCACGGACGUCACGAGGGUUUCCGGAAUGGUCCGGAAACGAAGAUUGAUAUAUAGGAUGACCUCAUUUGGUUACCGGAAGGUUUUCGUGCAUUACCGGAAAAGUUUCGGGCUCAUCGGUAGUGUACUGGGAGUGCCGGGAGGGGUGCCGGGGACCAUCAGGAGGGGUGUCACGCCCCAAGGGGUCUCAUGGGCUAUGGUAAGAGAUAAACCAGCCCCUAGUGGGCUGGAAUAAGUUCCCACUAAGGCCCAUAAGGUUUGAGAAAGAAAAAACACAAGGUGGAAAGAGUUUCCAAGUGGGAAGGUGGAAUCCUACUCCAAGUAGGAUUGGAGUAGGACUCCUCCACCUCCAAUUUCGGCCAAACCUUUAGAUUUUGAGGCUGCCCCCUCCCCUCCCUCCCUCCUAUAUAUACUGAGGUAUUAGGGCUGAUUUGAGACAACUUUUGCCACGGCGGGCCGACCACAUACCUCCACGGUUCUACCUCUAGAUCGCGUUUCUGCGAAGCUCGGGCGGAGCCCUGCUGAGAUUAGAUCACCACCAACCUCCGGAGCGCCGUCACGCUGCCGGAGAACUCAUCUACCUCUCCGUAUCUCUUGUUGGAUCAAGAAGGCCGAGAUCAUCGUCGAGCUGUACGUGUGCUGAACGCGGAGGUGCCGUCCGUUCAGCACUAGAUCGUGGGACUGUUCGCGGGACGGUUCGCGGGGCGGAUCGAGGGACGUGAGGACGUUCCACUACAUNNNNNNNNNNNNNNNNNNNNNNNNNNNNNNNNNNNNNNNNNNNNNNNNNNNNNNNNNNNNNNNNNNNNNNNNNNNNNNNNNNNNNNNNNNNNNNNNNNNNUAAAAACCUUUGUGUUCUUGAGAGUGAGAGUGAGGCGAGCCCACCUCGGCCUCACCCUUCUCUCCCGCCCAGCCGCAACAGCCCAGCAGCCCGACCUACGGUAGCUCGCAGCCCCGCAGCCCACCAGCCCGCUAGCGACAGGAGCUUCAUUCUCCUUUCCACGACACCCCAUCCAGAAGAGCCACGACAGCCAUGCCUUGAUUUGAUGGACUCAGCUCGCCCUAGCUGCCUAUAUAGGUUUCCUGGUGCCCUAGGUCCUCCCCACAACCCAUUCCUCCCUUCUCCUUGCCUUGCCGCCACUGGUAGGUCUUCUCCAAGCAUCGCCAUCGCCCUACUCGCCAUGAAUCGACCGAGCUUCUUCUCGAGCCCGGUGUAGUUCAUCGCUGCCACGUCCGGCCCUCCUGUCACCAUGGAUUGAACCACAGAGGCAGGCCCUUCGUCCCCGAGAACAAGCCGCGGCCUGCAGCCCCUGGAGCGCCCUCCCCUUGCCGUCUUCCUCCUCUGCGUUUCGGGUUGAGGAGCGCGCCGGAGUUCGCCGACAUGUAGCACCGUCUUCAUCACGCCCCAUCCAUCUUCUUCGUGUCGUUGGUAAGGAAGGCAUUCUCUAUGUUCCAUUCAGUCCUUCCCCGCCUCCGUUCAUGUCGCGCAGGUGCCAAAUCAUUCGUGCCAAGAUCGUGCUCUCCGUGCUCGGGCUGAAGCUGCCAUUUUUUUGUUCUCGCGUGUAUGUGUGUGGUGCGUAGUUCCAAAUUAGCCCGCGUGCACUGUGCCUUGCUUCCCUAGUGGUCUCACCGCCAUUUUGUGGUAGCCGCCACUUGCCGCAUCGCCUCGCUUGCCGCUGCCGCUAGCCCGUGCCGCGGCCAUGCCCGAGCUCGAUCUCGAGCUCGAGGUCCUUGCCGUGUGGGCCUCUCGCCCCACUUCUCAUCCUCAAGGGGCCCUGGUGUCAUUGCCAGUGGGACUCUCUGUUUUAUUUUUAUUAUUUAUGUUUAUUUUAUCUCUUUAUUCCAUUUUUGGAAGAUUCCAAAUAGGGAAUUGUCCAAAUGUGGAUCUGUCCAAAUCUGGAAUAUGCCAAAUCUGGCAUAUAAUUUAUUACACCUAGUUUGUGAAAAUUUCGUUUUAGUUUUGUGUGUGAAUUUCCUAUAGAAAUAUAUGAGUAUGAUAUAUGAAAUUGGGGUAGAAUUUUCUUGUGAAUAAAAUGGUGGUAUUAGUUUUGUCUUUUGGGAAAGUUUGCAGAAAUGUUAUUUUUUGAUGAGGUGGAAUUUUGUGAAUUUUGUGUGGUUUAAUUCCUGCAUGCUAUGAUGAACUUGUCAACAUGGAAGUGCUAGUGUUUUGUGGGCACUAGGCGCUGCUAUUUUCCUUUGCUAGGAUAAGCUAGUAGUUUAGUAUAUUUCUUGUUGUAAAGUAACUAAGAAAAUGUUGCUGGUUUCACAUGCUAAAUAUUUCUAAGUGUUGAAAUCAGUUAUUUUCUUACCACAUUGUGUUCAUGAUUCCCAUGAAUACAUUACUCCUUUGUGUUUGUUCAAAUGCCAUGAAUUGUUGUGCCUGUUAACCUCUAUCAAANNNNNNNNNNNNNNNNNNNNNNNNNNNNNNNNNNNNNNNNNNNNNNNNNNNNNNNNNNNNNNNNNNNNNNNNNNNNNNNNNNNNNNNNNNNNNNNNNNNNCCACACCCUUGUUGUUGAGAAUCCUUGGAUUUUCCCUGGUAGACCAUUGUUGCCAGACCAGUGAGGGCACAUUCUCUAAACUCCUCCAAGGUGGAGGAGAGUAUUUCCCCCUUUAUGGGGAUAUUUCCUCCGAGUCCCAUCACUCAUGUCUUAUUGACACCACGUAAGUGUACGUUAGUCCAGCAUCAUAUUUUCAUGAUGCUAUAUGAGUGACCGUGUGCUAUAUGAUUGUCUUGAUUGCACGUGCAUAUGAGUGACCUUGUUCCAUAUUUUCACCCCGUCUUUAUUUUUUUUCCUAAGGAAAUCUUGGGGACAAGAUUUAUUUUUAAGGGGGGUAGUGUUUGUGACGCCCCAAAAAUUUAACCAUAUUUGUACUAAUUAAAAUAUUGCCUCAAACAAAACUUUUGAAAAUGAAUUACUUCUUUGCUUAUUUGAGAACAUCUUCUCUAAAACUUUUCCCUCCAAGUAGACUUUUGAAAAGCAUUAUCGAUUUGUGUAUUGGUAUAAAUUCAUUCUAUUUCAUUUUUAUAAAAAAAUGUGAAUUUAAAAUCUUUUAAAGGAUUUUUCAUCNNNNNNNNNNNNNNNNNNNNNNNNNNNNNNNNNNNNNNNNNNNNNNNNNNNNNNNNNNNNNNNNNNNNNNNNNNNNNNNNNNNNNNNNNNNNNNNNNNNNGAACACAAAGGUUUUUAUUUUUUAUAAAACCACGUAUUUUUCCCUAAAUCAUACAGAAAAAUAGAGGAGGUUUUUGGGGAGAAAUAAAAUAUGUCUGAACUCACAAAAUAAACCCUAUUUGAAAAAUUGACUUUGGCAUAUUUAGAGCAAUAAAAUAAAACCCAUAUUUUAAUUAUAACAAUAUGUUUUUGCAAAGAUGUCAAAGCAAAAUACUUCAACAUGGUUAGAACUAAUUUUUAUGAGCAUAACAGAAUAUUUAUGGAAGUGCAACAUUUAUUAUAUGUACUAGGGCAAGUAAAAAUCACCGCAUUUGCAUUAUUAGAGAAGAGAGGUGGCAUAAUUUUUUAUGGAAGUUGAAGAGAGGGGUUUUAAUCAAAGAAUAUUACUAGUUUGCAAGCAGUCAUACCACACACACACUCAUAACAACAUCACCACAUAAAACAAGCAUGAGGCAAAACAUGAAUUAUGACAUGAUGAUUAUGAUGCCAUGAUGCAACAUCCCAUGAAGAAAAAUUAUUGUAACUCAAACCACAUAAUGGCAAUAAGAAGGUUCACACAUGACACAUUACAAAUAAAGGACGGGGUGCAGUUGGGCUGUUACAACUCUCCCACACUACAAGAGGAUCUCGACCCGAAAUCUAGCGCUGAAAGAACUCUGGAUAUUCGGAACAGAGAAAGUCAUCACGUUCCCAAGUGGCUGCUUUAUCGAAAUGGUGUGACCAUUUAAAUUUGAGGAACUUGGUAGACUUGUUUCGAGUCUUACGCUCGGUCUCUUUGAGAAUGGCAAUNNNNNNNNNNNNNNNNNNNNNNNNNNNNNNNNNNNNNNNNNNNNNNNNNNNNNNNNNNNNNNNNNNNNNNNNNNNNNNNNNNNNNNNNNNNNNNNNNNNNUCUUUGAAGAUUAAUUGAAACAUGAUGAUGAUCAUGAAGUGGGAUAUAACCAUAAUUAUUAUGAAUUUUUUUGUGGACUAAUCAUUUCUGGUAUAUGAAUUUUUGAGUAUCCCUGGGACGGUUCUACCUCCUCGAUACUCGAUUUUAUUAUUAUCAUAUAAUCCCUUUUUGUGGUGUCGCUUAGACGCCCGACUGUGGCAACUGCUAUUAUUAUCAUAUAAGCCCUUUAUGUGGUGUCGCUUAGUCGCCCGAGUGUGGCAACUGUUAUUACUUUUAUAUUAGCCUUUUUUGUGGUGCCUCUCAGACACCGGACUAUAGCACAAAUACUAUUACUUAUUCAUCGUUAUUACAUUCUUAUAAGCCCUUUUUGUGGUGUCUCUCCAGACGCCCAACUGCGGCACACAUAUUAAUAUUUAAUUAUAAUACAAUUUUGCAGUGUCGCCCCAGACACCCGACUAUGGCAUUACUUUAUUUAUGCUAAUAUAAGUCCCUUUAUGUGGCGUCGCUUAGACACGUGACUGUGGCUUAUAUUGCUUGUCCUUUUGAGGUGUCGCCUGAGAGGCCCAAUCGACAAAUUGAAAUUGAUUGUUACUCUCUACCUUGUUUGCUUAUACAUCACGAGUAGGAAUGAUUUAUCUGCAUGACUGCAUCCGUGAAUUAAAUCCUAUGGCAUUUGAGGUGGUAUUAAAUUUUUUGUGCAUGCAUCUCACCUGCUUUAACUUAUAUUUUUUCAUGAUGUUUGCGAGUACAUUCAAAGUACUCAAUGGCUUGUCCCCGACCAUUGUCUUGGCCAGAUUUCAUAUUUGGAGAGGAACACGAUGAUAUCAAUCCCAGAACCUAGGAGUUUGGGAUCGCAGGCUUGCGAGAUAGGAGGUAUCCAGGUAAGCUAUUCGUGUGGAAAUGGAAUCCCAUGGACGUUGGAGAUCCGCGAGUCUCUUCCGUCGUCAGCGUUCAGACCUUUUGUUCAACCCCAUGGACCUUCAUGGUCUUGUAACCCAAAUUUUGUAUUUUCUUGGAAUUUCUAUAUCAAGUGGGCGUCCACCAGCUAACAGUAAUCAUUGGGCUGGUGAACACAAGGCUUGUUUUCUAGGAAUUAUAUAUUCUGGAAAACCGGUCGCUACAACCUUGGUAUUAGAGCCAGGCUGACCAUUGGCUAAUCAUAUCUUAGCCAUGUCUCUAUUCCUAGCCCGGGUAUUUAUAUAACCACCACCCAGCCUAGCCUAUGCAAUAGCCAACCACAACGGCCAUCCGACCCUUUGUGGCAGUCGGUGCCCAACCUGGUAGCUAGCCCAUAGGCCACGUGUGUGUGACUGACACAGGAGAUGUGGCAUCCCCUAGCAUGCGACGGAAGAAUCCCUUAACCUAUAAAGGAAAGCAUUUCCUCAACCCAGCAACCCGCAACCUUGAGCCCCACCACAAUAACCCCAAACCAACAAGAUGCCUAGCCAUGUUAUUUUCAACGAGACAACUUCAUCUGAGCCGGUAGACUUCGUAGCCGACCUCACCCGCCAAAUUUUUGGCAUAGAAGAGCCCCAAUGUAUGUUGUGCAUGAGGAACCUGCGAGUGAUGNNNNNNNNNNNNNNNNNNNNNNNNNNNNNNNNNNNNNNNNNNNNNNNNNNNNNNNNNNNNNNNNNNNNNNNNNNNNNNNNNNNNNNNNNNNNNNNNNNNNCUAAUAUUAUAUGUGGAUGACAUAUUGCUGAUUGGAAACAAUAUAGAGUUUUUGUAAACGUAAAGGCUUACUUGAAUAAAAGUUUUUCAUUGAAAGAUCUAGGAGAAGCUUUUUACAUAUUGGGCAUAAAGAUCUAUAGAGAUAGGUCAAGGAGCCUAAUAGCUCUUUCAUAAAUCACAUACCUUGAUAAAGUUUUGAAGAAGUUCAAAAUGGAACAAUCCAAGAAGGGGUUCUUGCCUGUGUUACAAGGUAUAAAGUUGAGUAAGACUCAAUGUCAAGUAACUGCAGAAGAUAGAGAAAAGAUGAGUGUCGUCCCUUAUGCUUCAGCCAUAGGGUCUAUCAUGUAUGCAAUGUUGUGCACAAGACCGGAUGUCAGCCUAGACAUAAGUAUGACAGGCAGGUUUCAAAGUGAUCCAGGAGUGGAACACUGGGAGGCGGUCAAGAAUAUUCUGAAGUACCUGAAAAGGACUAAGGAAAUGUUUCUCGUUUAUGGAGGUGACAAAGAGCUCGUCGUAAAGGGUUACGUCGAUGCAAGCUUUGACACUGAUCCGGAUGACUCUAAGUCUCAAACUGGAUACGUAUUUAUUCUUAACGGGGGUGUGGGAAGCUGGUGAAGUUCCAAGCAAAGCGUCGUAGCUGAUUCUGCAUGCGAAGUGGAGUACAUAGCUGCCUCAGAGGCGGCUAAGGAGGGUGUCUGGAUGAAGCAGGUCACAUCGCAUCUUGGAGUAAUGUCAAGUACACUGGAACCAAUCAAUCUGUUCUAUGACAAAACUCGUGCCAUUGCUCUAGCCAAGGAACCAAGGUUUCACAAGAGGACCAUACACAUAAAGCGAUUCUUCAAUGCCAUCUGCGAUUACAUCAAGGAGGAGGACAUAAAUAUUUUCAAAGUGCAGACAGAUCAGAAUGUUGCAGAUCCGCUGACUAAACCUCUUCCACGAACAAAGCAUGAUAAACACUAGAACUGUAUGGGUGUUAGAUACAUUACAUUCUAAAUCACAUAGAGAUGUGAAGCUAGAUUAUUGACUCUAGUUCAAGUGGGAGACUAUUGGAAAUAUGCCCUUGAGACAAUAAUAAAAUAGUUAUUAUUAUAUUUCCUGUUUCAAUAUAAUCGUUUAUUGUGCAUGCUAUAAUUGUAUUGAAUGGAAACAUAAAUGCAUGUGUGGAUAUAUAGACAAAACAAUGUCCCUAGUGAGCCUCUAGUUGAAUAGCCUAUUGGUCAAGGAUGGUUAAGGUUUCCUAGCCAUAGACAAGUUUUCUCACUUGAUGACGAGAUCACAUCAUUAGGAGAAUGAUGUGAUGGACAAGACCCAAACUAUAAACGUAGCAUAUGAUCAUGUCAUUUUGUUGCUAUUGUUUUCAGCAUGUCAAGUAUACAUUCCUAUGACCAUGAGAUCAUGUAACUCACUNNNNNNNNNNNNNNNNNNNNNNNNNNNNNNNNNNNNNNNNNNNNNNNNNNNNNNNNNNNNNNNNNNNNNNNNNNNNNNNNNNNNNNNNNNNNNNNNNNNNGAUCUGGUAUCUUCCGUUUAUUAGUCACGAUAUCUUUCAUGUACUUGGCAUACGGACAUAUCUUGAGUAUAUCAGUUAACCGCAUCUGCAGAAAGAUGGGUCUUAUCAUCUCAACAAAGCGCUCAAAAUCCUCAUCAUCCUUUUUCUUGGAUGGCUUAGGAGGAAAGGGUAUAGAUCUCUUAACCCAUGGCUCCCUUUCUUUACCAUGCUUCCUAGCAGUAAAGUCAUUCUUGUCGUAUCUCUUAGGUUGUGGGUUAUCAGGAUUAACCGUAGGUUCGAUCUCGACAUCCUCAUUAUUGCUAGGUUGAGCAUUAUUAUGAACAUCACUGUCCAUAUUGUCACCAGGUUCAUGUUCAUCACCAGAUUGUGUUUCUGCAUCAGACGCAGAAAUAUCAUUAGGUUCUUCAGGUGUGACAGUAAUUGGUGAACUGGCAUGUAGGUUUCUAUCAUCCUUGUUCUUCUCCUUAGGAUGACUGGGUGUAUCAGCAUUAAUUCCUUGAGAAUCUUGAUCAAUUCUCUUAGGAUGACCUUCAGGAUACAAAGGUUCCUGAGUCAUUUUGCCUCCUCUAGUAAUGACUCUGACAGAGUUGUCAUUUAAUUCAUUGAGCAGGUCAUUCUGAGCUUUAAAUACUUGUUCUACCUGAGUAGUAAUCAUAGAGGCAUGUUUACUCAGAAGCUUCAGAUCAUUGAAAUUUCUGUCUAAUCAAGCACUUGGAUGGCUAAGCAUACGAGUACUUUGUUCCAAAUGUCUGCUAACGUAAUCAUUGAAACUCUGUUGUUUGGCAACAAAGUUGUCAAAUUCAUCAAAGCAUAGGCUAGCAGUUUUGUCAAAAGGAAUAUCACUCUCAUCAAACCUACGCAGAGAAUUCACUUCUACUACUUGUAUCGGGUUAUCGAGACCAUGGAUCUCUUCGAUAGGUGGUAGAUUUUUGACAUCUUCAGAUCUAAUGCCUUUCUCUUGCAUAGAUUUCUUGGCUUCUUGCAUAUCUUCGGGACUNNNNNNNNNNNNNNNNNNNNNNNNNNNNNNNNNNNNNNNNNNNNNNNNNNNNNNNNNNNNNNNNNNNNNNNNNNNNNNNNNNNNNNNNNNNNNNNNNNNNUGCCCGAAAUCUUUCCGGAAGCCAAAUGCAACAAUCCUAUAUAUCAAUCUUCAUUUCUGGACCAUUUUGGAGACACUCGUGACAUCUGGGAUCUCAUCCGGGACUCCAAACAACAUUCAGUUACCAACAUCAAUAAUUCAACUAUACCGAAAACGUCACCUAACCUUAAGUGUGCAGAUCCUGCGGGUUCGAGAACUAUGUAGACAUGACCGAGACACUCUCCGGUCAAUAUCCAAUAGCAGUACCUAGACGUCCAUAUUGGAUCCCACAUAUUAUAAGAAGAUCUUAUCGGCUAAACCUCUAUGUCAAGGAUUCACACAAUCCCGUAUAUCAUUCCCUUUGUCCUUCGGUAUGUUACUUUCCCGAGAUUCGAUCAUCGGUAUCGCCAUACCUAUUUCAGUCUCGUUAUCCGCAAAUCUCUUUACUCGUUCCGUAAUACAAGAUCCCGUGACUAACUCUUUAGUCACAUUGCUUGCAAGGCUUGUUUGUGAUGUUGUAUUACCGACUGGGCCCUGAGAUACCUCCUCGUCACAAGUAGUGACAAAUCCCAGUCUUGAUCCUUGAUAACGCAGCACACACCUUCGGAGAUGCUUGUAGAGUACCUUUACCAAGUAAUGUUGCAACGUUUGAUACACACAAGGCAUUCCUCCGGUGUUAGUGAGUUACAUGAUCUCAUGGUCAUAGGAAUGUAUACUUGACAUGCUGAAAACAAUAGCAACAAAAUGACAUGAUCAUAUGCUACGUUUAUAGUCUGGGUCUUGCCCAUCACAUCAUUCUCCUAAUGAUGUGAUCUCGUCAUCAAGUGAGAAAACUUGUCUAUGGCUAGGAAACCUUAACCAUCCUUGACCAAUAGGCUAUUCAACUAGAGGCUCACUAGGGACAUUGUUUUGUCUAUAUAUCCACACAUGCAUUUAUGUUUCCAUUCAAUACAAUUAUAGCAUGCACAAUAAACGAUUAUCUUGAAAUAGGAAAUAUAAUAAUAACUAUUUUAUUAUUGUUUCAAGGGCAUAUUUCCAAUAGUCUCCCACUUGAACUAGAGUCAAUAAUCUAGCUUCACAUCUCUAUGUGAUUUAGAAUGUAAUGUAUCUAACACCCAUACAGUUCUGGUGUUUAUCAUGCUUUGUUCGUGGAAGAGGUUUAGUCAGCGGAUCUGCAACAUUCUGAUCUGUCUGCACUUUGAAAAUAUUUAUGUCCUCCUCCUUGAUGUAAUCGCAGAUGGCAUUGAAGAAUCGCUUUAUGUGUAUGGUCCUCUUGUGAAACCUUGGUUCCUUGGCUAGAGCAAUGGCACGAGUUUUGUCAUAGAACAGAUUGAUUGGUUCCAGUGUACUGGGCACUACUCCAAGAUGCGACAUGAACUGCUUCAUCGAGACACCCUCCUUAGCCGCCUCUGAGGCAGCUAUGUACUCCACUUCGCAUGCAGAAUCAGCUACGACGCUUUGCUUGGAACUUCACCAGCUUCCCACACCCCCGUUAAGAAUAAAUACAUAUCCAGUUUGAGACUUAGAGUCAUCCGGAUCAGUGUCAAAGCUUGCAUCGACGUAACCCUUUACGACGAGCUCUUUGUCACCUCCAUAAACGAGAAACAUUUCCUUAGUCCUUUUCAGGUACUUCAGAAUAUUCUUGACCGCCUCCCAGUGUUCCACUCCUGGAUCACUUUGAAACCUGCCUGUCAUACUUAUGUCUAGGCUGACAUCCGGUCUUGUGCACAACAUUGCAUACAUGAUAGACCCUAUGGCUGAAGCAUAAGGGACGACACUCAUCUUUUCUCUAUCUUCUGCAGUUACUUGACAUUGAGUCUUACUCAACUUUAUACCUUGUAACACAGGCAAGAACCCCUUCUUGGAUUGUUCCAUUUUGAACUUCUUCAAAACUUUAUCAAGGUAUGUGAUUUAUGAAAGAGCUAUUAGGCUCCUUGACCUAUCUCUAUAGAUCUUUAUGCCCAAUAUGUAAAAAGCUUCUCCUAGAUCUUUCAAUGAAAAACUUUUAUUCAAGUAAGCCUUUACGUUUACAAAAACUCUAUAUUGUUUCCAAUCAGCAAUAUGUCAUCCACAUAUAAUAUUAGAAACUCUAUAGAGCUCUCACUCACUUUCUUGUAAAUACAAGAUUCUCCAAAAACUUGUAUAAACCCAAACGCCUUGAUCACCUCAUCAAAGCGUUGAUUCCCACUCCGAGAUGCUUGCGCCGGUCCAUAGAUGGAUUGCUGGAGCUUGCAUACUUUGUCAACAUUCUCUGGAUUCACAAAACCUUCGGGUUGCAUCAUAUACAAUUCUUCCUUAAGAAACCCGUUAGGCAACGCUGUUUUGACAUCCAUCUCCCAGAUUUCAUAAUAAAAAAAUGCAGCUAUUGCUAAUGAUUCGAACGGACUUAAGCAUCGCUACGGGUGAGAAUGUCUCAUCGUAGUCAACUCCUUGAAUUUGUGAAAAAACCUUUGCCACAAGUCAAGCUUUAUAAAUGGUCACGUUAUCGUUUGCGUGUGUCUUGUUCUUAAAGAUCCAUUUGUUCCGAAUAGCCUUUCGACCUUCAGGUAAUACUUACAAAAUCCAUAAUUUGUUUUCAUACAUAGAUCCUAUCUCAGAUUUCAUGGCUCCUAACCAUAUAUUGGAAUCUGGGCUCACCAUUGCUUCCCCAUAAUUCGCAGGCUCUUUGUUUUCCAACAACAUGAUUUACAAUAUAGGAUACUCGUACCACUCAGUAAAAGUACAUGCUCUUGUCGACCUGCAUGGUCCGACAGAAACUUGAUCUGAAGCUUCAUGAUCACCAUCAUUAGCUUCCUCUUCAACUGGUGUUGACUCGACAGAAAUUUCUUUCUGCCAUGCACCACCAUCUUGCUAAAGUAGAGGUUCCGCAACCUCAUCAAGUUCUAUCUUCCUCCCACUCAAUUCUUUCAAGAUAAACUCUUUCUCAAGAAAAGCUCCGUUCUUAGCGACAAACACUUUGCCCUCGGAUCUGAGAUAGAAGGAAUAACCAACUGUCUCUUUUAAGUAACCUAUGAAGACGCUUUUCUGCUUUGGGUUCCAGCUUUUUAGGCUGAAGCUUUUUGACAUAAGCAUCACAUUCUCAAACUUUAAGAAAUGACAACUUUGGCUUCUUGCCAUACCACAGCUCAUAUGGCGUCAUCUCAACAGAUUUUGAUGGUGCCCUAUUUAAAGUGAAUGCAUCUAUCUCCAAUGCACAGCCCCAAAAUGAUAAUGGCAAAUCGGUAAGAGACAUCAUAGAACGCAUCAUAUACAAUAAAGUACGAUUACGACGUUCGGACACACAAUUACGCUGUGGUGUGCCAGGUGGUGUUAACUGUGAAACAAUUCCACAUUGUCUUAAGUGGGCACCAAACUCGUAACUCACAUAUUCACCUCCUCAAUCAGAUCGUAGGAACUUGAUCUUCUUGCUACGAUGAUUUUCAACUUCACUCUGAAAUUGUUGGAACUUUUCAAACGUUUCAGAGCUGUGCUUCAUCAAGUAGAUAUAGCCAUACCUACUCAAAUCGUGAGUGAAGGUGAGAAAAUAACGAUUCCGCUGCGCGCCUCUAUGCUCAUUGGUCCGCACAGAUCAGUAUGUAUGAUCUCCCACAAGUCACUUGAACGCUGCAUUGUUCCAGAGAACGGAGUCUUAGUCAUCUUGCAUAUGAGACAUGGUUCGCAUGUGUCAAGUGAUUCAAAAUCAAGUGACUCCGAAAGUCCAUCAGCAUGGAGUUUCUUCCUGCGCUUGACACCAAUAUGACCAAAGCGGCAGUGCCACAAGAAAGUGGCACUAUCAUUGUUAACUCUACAUCUUUUUGUCUCAAUGUUACGAACAAACCCUUACAUUGGGUGCAUGACAAUAAAAUAUAUUACUCAUAUAAAUAGAACAACCAUUAUUCUCUGACUUAAAUGGGUAAUCGUCUCGCAAUAAACAAGAUCCAGAUAUAAUGUUCAUGCUCAACGCAGGCACUAAAUAACAAUUAUUUAAGUUCAUCACUAAUCCCGAUGGUAAUUGAAUUGAGACCGUGCCGACGGCGAUCGCAUCAACCUUGGAACCAUUUCCCACGCACAUUGUCAUUUCAUCCUUCGCUAGCCUUCGUUUAUUCAGCAGUUCCUAUUUCGAGUUGCAAAUGUGAGCAACAGAACCGGUAUCAAAUACGCAGGCACUACUACGAGAGUUGGUGAGGUACACAUCAAUACCAUGUAUAUCAAAUAUACCUUGUUUGGUGUUAGCCGCCUUCUUAUCGGCCAGAUACUUGGGGCAGUUGCANNNNNNNNNNNNNNNNNNNNNNNNNNNNNNNNNNNNNNNNNNNNNNNNNNNNNNNNNNNNNNNNNNNNNNNNNNNNNNNNNNNNNNNNNNNNNNNNNNNNCUCAUAUAAAUAGAACAACCAUUAUUCUCUGACUUAAAUGGGUAAUCGUCUCGCAAUAAACAAGAUCCAGAUAUAAUGUUCAUGCUCAACGCAGGCACUAAAUAACAAUUAUUUAAGUUCAUCACUAAUCCCGAUGGUAAUUGAAUUGAGACCGUGCCGACGGCGAUCGCAUCAACCUUGGAACCAUUUCCCACGCACAUUGUCAUUUCAUCCUUCGCUAGCCUUCGUUUAUUCAGCAGUUCCUAUUUCGAGUUGCAAAUGUGAGCAACAGAACCGGUAUCAAAUACGCAGGCACUACUACGAGAGUUGGUGAGGUACACAUCAAUACCAUGUAUAUCAAAUAUACCUUGUUUGGUGUUAGCCGCCUUCUUAUCGGCCAGAUACUUGGGGCAGUUGCACUUCUAGUGACCGGUCUGCUUGCAAUAAUAGCACACAGUUUUUAGCUUAGGUCCAGCCUUGGGUUUCUUCGUCGGAGGGGCAACAGCUUUGCCACUCUUCUUGGAGUUACCCUUCUUGCCUUUGCCGUUUUUCUUGAAACUACUGGUCUGAUUGACCAUCAACACUUGAUGUUCUUUCCGGAUUUGUGACUCAGUGACUUUCAGCAUCGCAAAUAACUCGUCGGGUGAAUUACUCAUCCCUUGUGUGUUAUAGUUCAACACGAAGCUCUUAUAGCUAGGUGGCAGUGACUGAAGAAUUCGAUGAGUGCUAGCUUCUUACGAGAGUUCAAUCCCCGGUUCACAUAGUCGGUUAGAGUACCCAGACAUUAUGAGCAUGUGUUCACGGACAGAUGAAUUCUCCUCCAUUUUGCAAGCAUAUAACUUAUCGGAGGUCUCAUACCUCUCGAUCCGGGCAUUCUGCUCAAAGAUAAACUUCAACUCCUGGAACAUCUCAUAUGCUCCUUGACGUUCAAAACGUCUUUGAAGUCCCGGUUCUAAGCCAUACAAAACUACACACUGAACUAGUGAGUAGUCAUCCUUACACACUUGCCAAGCGUUCAAAACAUCUUGGGUUGCCGUAGUGGGUGGUGCAUCACCUAGCGCGGCAUCAAGCACAUAUUGCUUUUGGCCAGCUUGAGGAUAAGCCUCAAAUUUCGAGCCCAGUCAACAAAGUUGCUUCCAUCAUCUUUCAGCUUAGCUUUCUCUAGGAACGUAUUAAAAUUCAGGGUUGCUACUGUGCGACCCAUUGAUAUACAACAUAAAAUUUUGCAAAGAUUACUUAGACUAUGUUCAAUACAAUUGAGUUUAGCUAAUCAUAUUACUAAUAAACUCCUACUCAAAUAGACAUCCCUCUAGUCAUUUGAGUGUCGCAUGAUCAAAAUUCACUAACUCAAGUCCGAUCAUCACGUGAGUUGAGUAUAGUUUCAGUGGUGAACAUCUGCAUGUUGAUCAUAUCAACUAUAUGAUUCAUGCUCUACCUUUUGGUCUCUUGUGUUUCAAGGCCAUGUAUGUACAUGCUAGCUAGGCUCGUCAAGUUUAACCCGAGUGUUCUACGUGUGCAACUGUUUUGUACCCGUUGUAUGUGAACGUUGAGUCCAUCACACCCGAUCAAUGGUGCACAGUUGGGGAAAACACAAUUUUAUCUUGAAAUAUUAGUGAGGGAUCACCUUAUAAUGCUACCGUUGUUCUAAGCAAAAUAAGGUGCAUAAAAGGAUUAACAUCACAUGCAAAUCAUCAGUGACAUGAUAUGGCCAUGAACUUGUCCUUCUUGAUCUCCAUCACCAAAGCACCGGCAUGAUCUCCAUCGUCACCGGUGCCACACCAUGAUCUCCAUCAUUGUGCUACCAUCAUGGUUGUCACUCUAUCUAUGCUAUUACUACUAAAGCUACUGCCUAGCAAUAUAGCGAGAGCAUCUGCAAGCGGAAAAUAAAUUUAUAAACAACCCUAUGGCUCCUGCCGGUUGCCGUAGCAUCGACAUGCAAGUCGAUAUUUAACUAUUACAACAUGAUCAUCUCAUACAUCCAAUACACCAUAUCAUGUCUUUGGCCAUAUCACAUCACAAGCAUACCCUGCAAAAACAAGUUAGACAUCCUCUAAUUUGUUGUUGCAUGUUUUACAUGGCUCCUAUGGGUAUCUAGUAUGAUCGCAUCUUACUUACGCAAAGCCACAGCGGUGAUAUGCGAAUUGCUAUUAAACCUUCUCCAAGGACCGCCUCGGUCAAAUCCGAUUCAACUAACGUUGAAGAAGCACACACCCGCCAGUCAUCUUUAUGCAACAAGUUGCAUGUAAGUCGAUGAAACUGGUCUCUCGUAAGCGUAUGAGUAAAGUUGGUCCGGGCCGCUUCAAUCCAACAAUGUCGUUGGAUCAAGAAAAUACUAAGGAGGGCAACAAAUUGAAUAUCAACGCCCACAAACUCUUUUGUGUUCUACUCGAGAUAUCAUCUACGCAUGAACCUAGCUCGUGAUGCCACUAUUGGGGAACGUUGCAUGGGAAACAAAAUUUCCCAACGCACUCAAAGACCUAUCAUGGUGAUGAUCAUCUAUGAGAGGGAUAUCAUAUCCACAUACCCUUGUAUAUCGCUAAGCGGGGAGCACUAAGAAACGCGGUUGAUGUAGUGGAACGUUUUCGCGAUCCAAAUCGCCACCAUCCCAUGAUUCGUCCCGAUCUAGCGCCGAACGGACGGCACCUCCGUGUUCAGCACACGUCCAGCUCGACGACGAUCUCCGCCUUCUUGAUCCAGCAAGGGAGAUGUAGAGGUAGCUGAAUUCUUCGGCAGCACGACGAUGUGGCGGUGAUGAUGGUGAAUCUACUCCGGCAGGGCUUUGUCGUGCCGUAACGAUCUAUCUAUGAGGUGUCAUGAAGUAGUGCAGGGAGAGAGGGCUGCACAAAGGCUUGAAGUUCCAAAACCCUCUCAAACUUCCACUAUAUAUAGGAGGAACCAAGGUGAGGGUGGCUUGCCUCCUACUCCAAGGAGGAGGCUUCGGCUGAGGCAACGAGGGAGGAGUCCUCCUCCAAUUCGGUUUGGUGGAGGACUCCUUCCCAUCUUGUCCACCUCCUUCCUUCUUUUUUCCCUCUUUAUUUUUGCAUUGGCCGAAAUAGGCUUAUUGGACUGGCCUCACCAGCCCACUAAAGUUUGGUGCACUAACCAUGGGCCUGUUAGGUCCUCUCUCGGGUGGGUGGCCCCUUCCGGUAAAACCCUAGAACCCAUUUGUCACUCUCGAUACUUUACCUGUAGUUCCCGAAAUAUUUUCGGAAGCCAAAUGCAACAAUCGUCUAUAUCAAUCUUUGUUUCUGGACCAUUUCGGAGACACUCGUGACGUCACGGAUCUCAUCCGGGACUCUGAACAAUAUUCAGUUACCAACAUCAAUAAUUCACCUAUACCGAAAACGUCACCUAACCUUAAGUGUGUAGACCCUGCGGGUUCGAGAACUAUGUAGACAUGACCGAGACACUCUCCAGUCAAUAUCCAAUAGCAGGACCUAGAUGUCCAUAUUGGAUCCUACAUAUGCUACGAAGAUCUUAUCGGUUGAACCUCUAUGUCAAGGAUUCACACAAUCCCGUAUAUCAUCCCCUUUAUCCUUCGGUAUGUUACUUGCCCGAGAUUCGAUCGUUGGUAUAACCAUACCUAUUUCAAUCUCAUUACCAACAAGUCUCUUUACUCGUUCUAUAAUACAAUAUCUCAUGGCUAACUCUUUAGUCACAUUGCUUGCAAGGCUUGUUUGUGAUGUUGUAUUACCGAGUGGGCCCCGAGAUACCUCUACGUCACACGGAGUGAUAAAUCCGAGUCUUGAUCCGUGCUAACUCAAAGGACACCUUCGGAGAUUCCUGUAGAGUACCUUUAUAAUCACCCAAUAAUGAUGCAACGUUUGAUACACACAAGGAAUUCCUCCGGUGUCAACGAGUUACAUGAUCUCAUGGUCAUAGGAACGUAUACUUGACAUGCAAAAAACAAUAACAACAAAAUGACACAAUCAUAAUAGUUGCCACAGUUGGCGUCUAAGUGACACCACAUAAAGGGCUUAUAUGAUAAAAAUAAUAGUUGCCACAGUCAGGUGUCUAAGCGACACCACAUAAAGGACUUAUAUNNNNNNNNNNNNNNNNNNNNNNNNNNNNNNNNNNNNNNNNNNNNNNNNNNNNNNNNNNNNNNNNNNNNNNNNNNNNNNNNNNNNNNNNNNNNNNNNNNNNCAAGUUAAUUCUGUUUUGUAAAAUAUUUACUUGCUCCUAAAUUCUUGUUUCUAUUUUUAUUAAAUAGGUCUUGAUUUUUCAUGUCGAGGGAUGUGUUAGUGUUAUUUUUAGCACUUGUAGAUUUCCCUGUGCAUUUCUUUCUUUCUUUGCUUUUAUUCUGUAAAUAGGAUAGCCACGGGAAUUCUUUUCCCCUAUGUUGCGCCACCUGUGGGCUUACUCCCACAGGCCGGCCCAUCUCUUCCCUCUUCCCGUGCGCUAAGCCCAGUCCAUACGACAUCCCUUCUUCCACCUGACGGUGUCCACCUCUCUGCCCCCUUUCCAUCAAGCCAACAGAGAGAAGAAGUUGCCGCCGUGAGGGCACGACCGUCGAGGUCCCCCCUAUAUUUUGGCGUCCGUGCCUCUCCCCACUCCUAGGGUUUCCCUCUCUCCCAUCCACCGCCGCCGCUCCAUUCCCCAUCUCCCUCCUCUCUGUUUCUCCCCCAAAGGUAAUUCUCUGUAGCCAGGUUCAGAGAGAGGAGAGAAGCCCCGCCACCGUCUACCCCCACCUCCGUCGACGUCCGACGCUACCGCCAUGUACAGGGGCACGGGGGAGGUGCCCGCGCCCCAUUCCCGACCUAGAUGAGGCCUGGGAACAUCGACAUCGACGACCAGGAGCUCGCCAUCGCCUCGACCACGGAGCUCCCCUUCCUCUACGUCUAUCUGCUGCCAGGGAUUCCUCCGAUCGUCUUCUUCCCCUCCGAUCCGGUCUCAUCCACCGUACGACGUCUCCUCUACCUUCCCUAGGUGAGGAACAUCACCCCCUUCCUUCCCCCUCCUUCUCUUCGACCAGAUCGGCUAGUGUCGCCGGAGUUCUUCUCUGUGAGAGUAGAUCGUGCGUGUUUGUGUGUUGCUGUGCUUGGGUGCGUGUUGCGUAAUAGUAAUAGCAUGGCGUGGUGUAGCAGUUGUGCAGUACCAGUAGGGUGUAGCCCCUCGUAGCGCAGUAGCAGAAGCAGGACACCCCGGCGUCCUUCCUGUCGCCAGCGACCUCUGCGUGCCAAGCAGAGUACAAGGUGCUUGGCCAUUUUAUCUUGUUUUAUUCUUUCCCUCUAUCAGGCAACGUUUCAUAGCGAAGUGGUAACAGUGUUGGUGUGAUCUCGUGGGCUCGUGGGUUCGAGACCCACGGGAUGCACUCCCCCCUUUUUUUGUUGGUUUUAUUUCGGUACAAGUGGUUGCCGCAGCAGGACAGCUUAUCCUGCUAGAUGCUCCUGUUCUGUCAAACAGGGCCUCUUUAGCAGACUCGUAGAGGAGUAGUAUGUACCUCCAGAGGUACAGGGUUCGACUCCUUGCUCCUCCUUUUUAUUUUUUCCUUCGAGUUGUGCAUUUAUUUCUUGUGUUGUUGCAUCCUGGCUUGAGUGGUUGUUGUUGUGGUGUGCAUCACACCAUGGAGGUGAUUUAAACUUCCCUCACAACAGCAUUGUUUGCAUAACAGUUUGUUGGUUGUGUGUAGUAGCCCAUAUAAAGGAGUUGAACCUUGUGUAUAUUUGUAGUGUGUAGACAUAUGUAAUGAGAUGUGGAGUUUUAGUGUGCACUAGCCUAGAUGGAUGUAUGUGUGUGUGGGUUUCCCACCAUCCACCUGUGAUGCAAGUGAGUGUAUUGUGGUGUAGUGUUGAGUGUGUUUGUGAGUGUGUAGGUGUGUGGAUGGGAUUCCCCCUCUCCACAUAGCUUGUGUAAAUUUGUGCAUAGGAGUUUAUCUUGGUUUGUCUGUGGUUGCAUUAGUAGCGCAUGGUAGAUUUAUCAUGUGUAUGUGUUCUAGUGGAUAAGAGAGCAUGUGUAGAUGAUGUGGUGUGAUGGAACUCAUGCAAAUGGUGCUUUGUGGUGCAUGUGUGAGUGUGCACCAUCACAUGCCCAUAUGCGAGGGUGUGCAUACUCUCUUUGUAAGUGUAGGCGUUAUAUCUAUGUUGUGCUUGUCUCAUGUGGUGAUGUGUUGGUGUGCCAAGGCAUAUAGGCAUGAGGUCUACCCCUCAUGUGCACCAUUGAUAUUGUGGUCACGUAUAUAUGCUUAUGUAGGUUUUGUUCUAGUGAAUAGCACAUGUGAUGAUGCACUAUUCACUAGAUAUGAUUCCUUGUAGAUUUUCUUCCCUAGUUUGUGCCCACUUGUUCCAAGCAAGUGCAUAGGAAUUUUAUAUGUUUUUUUGGUAGAAAGGUCCCAGGAAUCCGUUGGUGAAAUCAUUUUUGCCAUUGGAACAUUUUCUGGAGAUGACAUAUUUUAGAUUUGUCCCAUGUUUAGAGCUUGGUUCCAUGUGAUGUGGUGGGCCCAAGGGUUUGUUUCUUUGUUGUGGUAGAAGAGGGUGACCCCCUAUACCAUAUGUUGGUUUCAUUUCAUGUUUAGGAAUCCAUAUGUGCAAGUUGUGCCCAAUCAAAGUAGGCUUAUGGCUGAAAUUCCAGAUUAGUGAAAAUCUGAGAUUUUCACCAAGUCUGAGAAUCUGUUUAUAUUUUCUUGUCCUGUAGAUGAGCUUGUGCAGGUCAAUGUGUUGUGAUCUAGCCUUAGUUUUCAACUGGAAAGUUGAAUCUGAUAUGUUUGUCUAGCUCCCUGUAAAUUUUCAUUCCAUUUGGAUUCCUGUAGAUAUUGUUUUGGCUGCUGUCAAAAUGCUUCAGAGCAUAAACAGAAAGUGAGAAUCUGGAAUUUUCACAAAGUCCCUGAAAUCUGAUAUUUUUGGGCAAGUUUGCAGCAGUGUAACUUUCUGUGUUUAACUCCUUUGUGUGAUAUUCUUGCUAGUGCUUGUAGCAAUCUUGGAUAGCUACAGCCACAUAUCUUAUUUGGCAUGUUUAGGUGGCUGUAGGUGCUUUGCAUGUAGCUCACAAAGUGCUAUGAUGCAGUUUAUGGCAGAUUGUGUAGUUUUGGCAUUUUGAUGAUUGUGAGUGCUUAGUUGAUGAUGUGGUGUUCUUCUUUGCUCCACCCCAUCCAUGUUGGUUUGUUUUAUGUCUUGGCUACCUGGAAAUACCAGAUUUGAGCCAUUGGAGUGUGUUGUGGUGGAUUUGUCACUUAGCACCUCAUAUCUUGUUUCGUUGAUUCCCGUUGAUCCGUAGCUCUGAUUGUAAUGUUCUUUAUAUGGUUUUGCAUUGUUUCUAUGAGACGAAUCGGAUCAUGUCAUUCUCAUGCAUGUCAAGAUAGAUUAGGAUGGAGUUUUGUCCAGGAACAUGUAUUUACUUCUCAUGCUUGUGUUAGUGAUAGAAAUAGUGAUGCAUGCUCAUAUUCAUCUCAUGCAUCAUGUGCUUGUUGCAUCUUGAGGUGUUGUUGUUCAUUGGAUGUUAUUCUUAUGUUGGGUAGCACCGAGAUCGGAGAACGAGUACGUGGAUUCGGGAGAGUACGUGCAGGAUGAACAAGAACCAUUCCAAGCUGAGGAUAUCACAGGCAACAUGAUAUGACCUUGAUUGCAUCUCUAGACUUGUUAUGCUAGAUUACAUUUGUUCCAUCUUAUUCUCGCUACCUACCACUGAAAUAAAUUGCCUCCUGAUAUUCCAUGAAACAAAACACUUAUCCCUUCCUAGCAAAUCUUGAAUGGCUAAGUAGGCUUUGCUCGGCUACUAAUGUUAGCGUUGCUAGAUGCAGGUGCUUUGCCUCAUGUGAUAACAUGAGCUUGAUAUCAUUAUCUUAAUUCUGUUAUUUAAUUAAUGCACCUAUAUACUUGGUAAAUAACAGAAGGCCUAGCCUUUUGCCGGGUGCUUUGUUCCGUUAUUGCCGCCAUAGUUACCGGCUACCGGUGUUUGAUUCCAUAAUGAUCGCUCCUAACACGUUCGGGGUUGUUAUGGGGACCCCUCGGUAAAUCGCGAAGUAUUAAGGCUUGUCCGACAGGACCCAACAUUGGUGUUAAUUUGCUAAUCACUUAAUAAUAAACUGCAUAGGGAAUGGCCUACCCGAGGAACUUAAUCAACAACCUGGGCCAGUGCUCCUCAUGAGUGUUGGCCCAAACUAGAGCACCGUGCGGGGCCAUCCCGGGGCAACUCGCGAGAUUUCUCUGGCCACUAUACGCUUCGCUUAUCCGGCGUCGCCUGAGACUGAGAUACGGGGCUCUUAUAUGGGUCGUCGACACGUAGGGAGGUCCUGCUAGUCUUGUCUUACCUAAGCGAUAUAUCUUGCGUAUAGGAAUCCCGGUGAAGCUUUGGUUCUCCCCAGAGUUGAGGUUUUCCUCUAAGGAAUCCGACGAGAUCACAAGAUUCGUGAUAGAGGAUUACUUUGCGUCCCGUGUACGUUUGUGAUGGACUAUUUGGAGCACCCCUGCAGGGUUUAAUCUUUCGAAAAGCCGUGCCCACGGUCAUGUGGCAACUUGGAAUACUUUCUUAACAUCCGGUAAUAGAUAACUUAAACAUAAGCUAAUAAAAUUGCCAACUGUGUGCGUAACCGUGACUGUCCCCUUCGAAGAUCUCUCUUCGAUCGGGAACACGGUGGGGUUCUGAUUGACGCAGGUAGGUGUUCAGGAUCACUUAGUGAUCAUCAAUUAUCGACCGCUAGUAUAGACCGACUUCAUUUGAAGUUAUACGUAAGUUAGCCACCAUAUAAAGCUUAGGAUGCUUCAACCUAAAUACUCCACCUAUCCAACUUAAUAACUUGACUAGUUCUGGCACCGAGGUCAUAGAUUGCUGAGUCCCCAUGGAUCACAGAUUCCUUCACAACGCCAAUAGGUUUAGGUACCCCCGAGACAGGUGAUCCCGACGGCACGCAGCUGACGUGGGAUUAUGAUGAGGAGAACGAAAGCCUGUACGUGAACUAUCUAGAAGAUUGAGGCGUGGUCGUGAUCGUGGGCCAGCAGGUAGGGCAGCUUAGUCAUUUCCCAUGUUUUGUCGUUCGUAGCGGAACUACCUUGACUGUAUGCGUGAUGUACUCUGAUAUAUUUAUGAGAUGGCAAUUGAAUCCCUUAUUGUCAUUCUGUUGAUAUUAUGUAUGUGUUAUGUUACCAUGUUUGCAAAACGCUUAGAUGCGCUCCUUACCAAUUCGAGGCCUCAUUCCCCAGAUCAGAAAGGACCGCAUCUUAGUCGUUACAAGUUGGUAAUCAGAGCCUUACGACCAUCGGAGCCUUUGUGUGAUCGUACUUGGCCCAGUCGAGUGUAGUAAAAUGUUUUGAGUCUUAGUUAUAUCGGAGAGUAGGAUUCUUUUUUCUCCUCUUCCAUGCUCUGGUGAGGUUCCCGACUUAGGAAAUCUUAAAUUAUACUCCUUUUCUCGCUCAAAUUUUUUUUGGAUCAUGCGGGUAUUUGUGAAAUCUAUAUGAUUUCGAUGUGACGGAGUUCUGUCUUGGUGCCUCCUGUCUGCCUUGAUUUCUUCCGGGGAGUUGAGCUCUAGGGGAUUCUUGCGCACAUAUCCAUCAUUCAGAUUUGUGAGUAUCUAAGAACGAAGGAUGUUCGUUAUUGCUUCAAUACUGGUAGUGGCGAGAUAACCCCGAUGUCCCCAGUACUGGUGCAGAUUGUUCGGGAGUACUGCCAUACUUUGUAUCGUUGUGAUCACGAGGGUCUGUUGUAGAUGAAGGUCCGAGAUGCUGGUUGUGUGUUGACGGAUGUGAUACAGGUGACGGGUUAGUAUAGGAGUUGUGUGAUAUUACUCCUUGUAUCCGUGUACCAGAUUGCAUGACCAGUUAUUUCGGGAAUUCAUUGGUGGGAUAUCAAGUAGUAUCUCAUAGGACUAUCUUCCUAGAGAUGCAUGACUGAGGUUGGGAUUAGAUGUUCAGUGGGUGCGUUUGUUCACGGUCGUCUUACAGCGGUUCUCGUUGUGUCUUAAAGAGUCCUUGUAGCUCGCUAUGACUUGGGGAUACUUCGUAUGUCGUGUGCACUGCCUUGCACAGGAUGGCUACUGUAAAUUCGAGCCCGUGUGAUCUUAUCCACGAAGAUAUCAGAUGAAAUCUCGAUCAUAUGUUUGUUCCGAGCAAUUCUAGCUCAUACUUGUUUGUAGUGGUCUUAAUCAGAAUUUUGUCGACCGUCACUUUGAGGAAGCAUUCUUACUGUUUUGUUCGAGUGCAAUUGAUUAUUCCUGUUUAGAUAUUCCUGUUAUUUUGAUUCAGCAAUAUCUUCAAUUUAUUCUGUGGCCUAAUGUGUUGUCCGUCUUCAGGAUGGCUCCACCAACGCGUCAGAACCCAGGGCGUGAGGAUAUGCCGCCACCACCUCCUCCUCCGGAGAAUCCUCCGCCGCCGCCACCUCCUCCUGCAGAGGCCUGGCAUGCAAUGAUGGCUGCUACUAAUGCAAACACCCAGAUGCUGCUAUAGUUGUUGCAAGAGAGAGCUAAUCAGCAGCAAGGCAAUUUCCAGCAUGGUGGCAAUCAAUUUUCUAGUCUGAGUCAGUUCCUGUCGAAUCAGCCAAAGAGCCAUUUGAUGCCGAGGAUUGGAUCCGUGAUAUGAAUAAGCAUUUCGAGUGUCGCAAUGUUUGUCCUGAGGAUUUUGUCAAAUUUGCAACAUUCCAGUUGAAGGGGCAGGCUUCUAUCUGGUGGCCACAGCUGAAGGACUCCACACGCGCUAGGGGGAUCUCUUGGGAUAAGUUCUGUCGUGACUUCAGGUCCCACUACAUUCCUUCCAGCUUUGUGGAGGAGAUGCGUGAGAAGUUCAGGCGUUUGAAGAAGGGUGGCAAUUCCGUGUACAAGUACACCGUUGAGUUCAACGAGCUAGCCCGAUACGCCUUGCAGGAUAUCCCUGAUCAGAAGAGCAAGAUUUAUCAGUUCAGAGGUGGCUUGAAAGAAGAUUUGUUGCUAGCUCUUGCUUUGCACGAUCCUGAGGAGUUCGACAAGUUCUACAACUUAGCUCUCAAAGUAGAGGUAGCCUUGCUCAGGGUGGAGAAUUCUAAGAAGCGCUUCAGAGAUUCCAGCUCUUCCUCUACUCACGUGGUUAAGAAGCAACAUAAGUUUUGGGUGUCUCCUCCUCCUCCUCGGCACUCGCAGCAGCUUAAGCACUCUGUUGGUCAUGGUUCGUCCCACCCACCCAACCCUGUCUUCCAACAGAGAUUCCAGCAUCAGAAGCAAGGGCCUCCUCAGACACAGUACCGGAAGCCAGCAGAGGUGACUUGUCACAAGUGUGGUCAGAAGGGUCAUUAUGCCAACAAGUGUAUUAUUCAGCUCCGACUGCCGCCUCCUCCUCCAGGCAAACCUCCAAGUAAUUCUCUUGUCAAGUUCAACCCCAGAUCAGCUCGAGUCAACAUGGUGAACGCAGCUGAAGCAGACAAGUCCUCUGAUGUGAUCAUGGGUAAUCUUUAAGUCAAUGAUUUUCCUGCUAAAGUCUUGUUCGAUUCUGGUGCUUUGCAUUGCUUUAUGUCAAAGUCAUUUUUUCAUCAAGCAUGAUUUUCCCUCCACAAGUUUGCAUACACCUUUGGGUGUUGUUUCUCCGGGUGCUCAGAUGAGGUCAAAUUCUAUAGUUCAUGAUGUCAAUGUCAAGAUAGGAAGCUAUUCUUUUCUGGCUUCUCCGUAUGUCUUGGGCAAUUCCGACAUCGACUUGAUCCUUGGUAUGGACUGGCUGGCCAUGAACAAGGCAUCAACUGAUUGUGAAGCUAAAGAAGUGAAGCUUACCCACUCUUCGGAGGACGUGAUUAUAUUCGCGGCGCGCGAUGAUACAAUCCGUCUGUUCUCUUUGAAAGAAAAGGGUGAGAUCAAUCCUAUUUUGCAAGUCCCAGUGGUCUGCGAAUAUGAAGAUGUGUUUCCAGAAGAGCUGCCAGGCAUGCCUCCGCACAGAUAAGUUGAGUUUGUGAUUGAGCUUGAGCCAGGCACCGAGCCGGUGUGCAAACGAUCGUACAAGUUGGGUCUAGAAGAAUUGAAAGAACUUAAGAGGCAACUCGAUGAGCAGGAACGUUUGGGUCUGAUCAGACCGAGCUCACCUCCGUGGGGUUGUGGAGUUCUGUUUGUCAAGAAGAAGGAUGGCACGGACCAACUGUGUGUCGAUUACCGUCCAUUGAACAAGAAGACAAUCACGAACAAAUAUCCACUUCCGAACAUAACUGAGUUGUUCGAACAGUUGAAAGGUGCUAAGGUCUUCUCCAAGCUUGAUCUCAGAAUGGGCUAUCAUCAAAUUCGCAUUCGCGAAGAAGAUAUUCCGAAGACUGCCUUCAGGACUAGUUUUGGCUCGUAUGAGUAUACGGUCAUGUCUUUUAGUCUGGCUAAUGCUCCUCUGACAUUCUGUCGAUUGAUGAACUACAUAUUCUCUCCGUUCAAGAAUGACUUUGUCUUGCUCUAUCCCGACGACAUUUUGGUCUUUUCUGAAACUGAGGAAGAACAUGAAGAUCAUCUCAGAUUGGUGCUUGAUAAGCUGAGAGAGUACAAGUUGUAUGCCAAGUUUUCCAAGUGUGAGUUCUGGCUGAAAGAGGUCGUCUAUCUUGGUCACAUUAUCUCUGCCGAGGGCAUUAAAGUUGAUCCAUCCAAGGUUCAGGACAUUGUUGAAUGGGAGCCUCCGCAGAAUGUGAAGGAGCUUCGAAGCUUUCUUGGGCUUGCAGGCUAUUGCAGAAGGUUCGUUGAGAACUUCUCCAAGAUCGCCAUGCCGCUCUCAAGUCUUCUUCAGGAAGGUGUGAAAUAUGCUUGGUCUCCAGAGUGUCAGUUGGCCUUCGACACACUCAAAGAGAACCUCACCUCCACUCCAGUCUUGGUUCCUCCGGAUGAUUCCAAGCCUUACCAGGUCUUAUGUCAUGCUUCUCUCAAGGGUCUUGGUGCAGUCCUGCUGCAAGACAAGAAAGUCGUUGCUUAUACCUCUAGGCAGUUGAAGCAAGCGGAGAAGAACUAUCAUGUGCAUGAUCUUGAGCUAGCAGCUGUGGUACACGCUCUGAUGACUUGGAGACACCUCUUGUUGGAACGUAAGGUUGAAGUUUUCACCGAUCACAAGAGUCUCAAGUACAUCUUCACUCAGCCUAACCUGAAUCUUCGACAAACACGUUGGGUGGAAAUGCUCCAAGAUUUUAAUCCGAGUGUUGAGUACACGCCAGGCAAAGCUAAUGUCGUGGCGGAUGCAUUGAGCAGGAAAGCGUACUGCAACAGUCUGAUUCUGCAACCUCUCCAGCCUGGUCUUCGUGAGUCUUUCAGGAAGCUCAACCUUCAGCUAGUACCUCAGGGAUUUCUUGCAAACCUUCAGAUCUCUCCUACCUUGGAAGAUCAGGUCCGAGCAGCACAUCUUCUUGACGCUAUGGUGAAGAAAGUCAAGAUUGGCGUGGCAAAGAGUCUUCCCAAGUAUAAGUGCCUUACUAUUGAUGCCAGAGACACGUUGUUCUUCGAGGAUCGCCUUGUCGUCCCGAAAGGUGAUCUCAGAAAGGUAAUCAUGGAGGAAGCUCAUAACUCUCUGCUCUCUAUUCAUCCUGGAAGCUCCAAGAUGUACAACGACUUGAAACAGACCUUCUGGUGGACUCGUAUGAAGCGUGAGAUUGCUCAGUUCGUAAACGAAUGUGAUGUAUGUCGAAGGGUGAAAGUAGAGCAACAACGUCCAGCAGGUCUUUUGCAUCCAUUGCCCAUUUCCGAGUGGAAGUUCGAUCACAUUGAGAUGGAUUUCAUCACCGGGUUUCCGAAGUCCUAGAAGGGUAAUGAUGUUAUCUUCGUCGUCAUCGACAAGUUGAGUAAAGUGGCUCAUUUUCUUCCUGUCAAGGAAUCCAUUUCCGCAGCUCAGUUUGCAGAGUUGUACACCUCCAGGAUUGUGUCCUUGCACGGUGUGCCUAUGAUGAUCUCUUCGGAUCGCGGAAGUAUCUUCACUUCCAAGUUCUGGGACUCUUUUCAGUCUGUUAUGGGCACGAAGAUCCGCUUCACCACAACGUUCCAACCUCAGACUAGUGGUCAAGUGGAGCGAGUGAAUCAAGUUCUUGAGGAUAUGCUCAGAGCCUGUGUUAUCUCUUUUGGUAUGAAGUGGGAGGAUUGUAUGCCUUUUGCGGAGUUCUGGUAUAGCAACAGUUAUCAAGCUAGUUCUGGCAAGGCUCUAUUUGAAAUUCUCUAUGGCAGGAAGUGUGGUACCUCGCUCAACUGUUCCGAGACCGGCGAGCGUCAGGUCCUUGGGAAUGAUUUGAUAGAAGAAGCUGAGGAGAUGUGUCGGGUCAUUCGCGACAACCUCAGAGCAGCUCAGUUCCGUCAGAAGAGCUAUUAUGAUAGCAAGCACCGUGACAUGUAUUAUGAACUUGAUGACUUCGUCUAUCUCAAGGUGUCGCCUAUGAAGGGUAUGUAGUGCUUUGACAUCAAAGGCAAGCUUGCGCCUCGUUUCGUUGGUCCGUUCAGACUGGUUGGCAAGAGAGGCGACCUUGCGUACUAGCUUGAGCUCCCAUCAAACUUUACAAAUGUGCAUGAUGUCUUCCAUGUUUCUCAGCUUCGGAGGUGCUUCAAGACCCCCGAGCGCACUGUUCAUCUUCAAGACAUCGACCUUCAGCCUGACCUUUCUUAUCGUGAGCAUCCAGUUGCGGCUCUCGAGGCUAAUGAACGCAAGACCCGCAACAAGACCGUCAAAUUUCUCAAAGUGCAGUGGUCACACCAUUCCGAUAAAGAGGCUACUUGGGAACGCGAGGAUCACCUACGUUCUGAAUUUCCGGAAUUUUUUCAGGCGUAGAUCUCGGGGCGAGAUCUUUUUGUAGUGUGGGAGAGUUCGUAACGCCCCAAGUGUGUAAACUUCCCUAUUUGGAUACCUUCUUCAUGUGGGUCCACCUUGUCAAUGCUAUGAGAGAGAUCAUGCUCAUGAUUUCAUGUGAUGUCCCUUGUUUUUCUUCCUUGCAUGCAUGCAUAACAUAUCAUAUCAUGCCCAUGUCUUUGUGAUGUUGCAAUGUNNNNNNNNNNNNNNNNNNNNNNNNNNNNNNNNNNNNNNNNNNNNNNNNNNNNNNNNNNNNNNNNNNNNNNNNNNNNNNNNNNNNNNNNNNNNNNNNNNNNUAAUGCACCUAUAUACUUGGUAAAUAACAGAAGGCCUAGCCUUUUGCCGGGUGCUUUGUUCCGUUAUUGCCGCCAUAGUUACCGGCUACCGGUGUUUGAUUCCAUAAUGAUCGCUCCUAACACGUUCGGGGUUGUUAUGGGGACCCCUCGGUAAAUCGCGAAGUAUUAAGGCUUGUCCGACAGGACCCAACAUUGGUGUUAAUUUGCUAAUCACUUAAUAAUAAACUGCAUAGGGAAUGGCAUACCCGAGGAACUUAAUCAACAACCCGGGCGAGUGCUCCUCAUGAGUGUUGGUACAAACUAGAGCACCGUGCGGGGCCAUCCCGUGGCUACUUGGGAGAUUUCUUUGGCCACUGUACACUUCGCUUAUCCGGCGUGUCCUGAGACUGGGAUAUGCGGCUCUUAUAAGGGUCGUCGACACGUCGGGAGGUCCUUCUAGUCUUGUCUUACCUUAGCGAUAUAUCUUGCGUAUAGGAAUCCCGGUGAAGCUUUGGUUCUCCCCAGAGUUGAGGUUUUCCUCUAAGGAAUCCGACGAGAUCACGAGAUCCGUGAUAGAAGAUUACUUUGCGGCCCGUGUAUGUUUGUGAUGGACUAGUUGGAGCACCCCUGCAGGGUUUAAUCUUUCGGAAAGCCGUGCCCGCGGUUAUGUGGCAACUUGGAAUACUUUGUUAACAUCCGGUAAUAGAUAACUUAAACAUAAGCUAAUAAAAUUGCCAACUGUGUGCGUAACCAUGACUGUCCCCUUUGAAGAUCUCUCUUGGAUCGGGAACACAGUGGGGUUAUGAUUGAUGCAGGUAGGUGUUCAGGAUCACUUAGUGAUCAUCAAUUAUCGACCGCUAGUAUAGACCACCUUCAUUUCAAGUUAUACAUAAGUUAGCCACCAUAUAAAGCUUAGGAUGCUGCAACCUAAAUACUCCACCUAUCCAACCUAAUAACUUGACUAGUUCUGGCACCGAGGUCAUAGAUUGCUGAGUCCCCGUGGCUCACAGAUUCCUUCACAACACCAAUAGGUUCAGGUACCCCCGAGAUAGGUGAUCCCGACGGCACGCGGCUGGCGUGGCAGUAUGAUGAGNNNNNNNNNNNNNNNNNNNNNNNNNNNNNNNNNNNNNNNNNNNNNNNNNNNNNNNNNNNNNNNNNNNNNNNNNNNNNNNNNNNNNNNNNNNNNNNNNNNNCCACACCCUUGUUGUUGAGAAUCCUUGGAUUUUCCCUGGUAGACCAUUGUUGCCAGACCAGUGAGGGCACAUUCUCUAAACUCCUCCAAGGUGGAGGAGAGUAUUUCCCCCUUUAUGGGGAUAUUUCCUCCGAGUCCCAUCACUCAUGUCUUAUUGACACCACGUAAGUGUACGUUAGUCCAGCAUCAUAUUUUCAUGAUGCUAUAUGAGUGACCGUGUGCUAUAUGAUUGUCUUGAUUGCACGUGCAUAUGAGUGACCUUGUUCCAUAUUUUCACCCCAUCUUUAUUUUUUUUCCUAAGGAAAUCUUGGGGACAAGAUUUAUUUUUAAGGGGGGUAGUGUUUGUGACGCCCCAAAAAUUUAACCAUAUUUGUACUAAUUAAAAUAUUGCCUCAAACAAAACUUUUGAAAAUGAAUUACUUCUUUGCUUAUUUGAGAACAUCUUUUCUAAAACGUUUCCCUCCAAGUAGACUUUUGAAAAGCAUUAUCGAUUUGAGUAUUGGUAUAAAUUAAUUUAUUUCGUUCUUAGAAAUUCAGUGUGGAAUUAUUUUUAUCAAAAAAUGUGAAUUUAAAAUGUUUUAAAGGAUUUUUCAUCCUUUUAAGAGCAUGUGUUGCAUCGCAACCAUUUUUUAAAGUCAUUUAGAAAUUCCAAAAACAAUAGGAGGUGUCAAGGGAUGCAUGUGAUUCACUUUUACGCAAAAACUUAUUUGUGUUCUUUGGAAAAUUGGAGCAAAGCAACCCUUUUUUAUUCUGGCCUAGUUUUGCAAUUUGAAAUACAACCCUAUUUAACUUGCCCUUUUGGCAAUGAUUUUUUUCCUGCUUGAAGCCCAUCCUACCAAACCGUUAAGUCCAUAAGUUUAUCCCCAUUGAGAUUGUUAAGUGCAUGAUUUAAUAGCCUAAAAUUUCUGACAAUAACUGUUUUUCUCAAAAAGUUGCAUGGACAAGUUUUUCCUUUUUCAAAUCUAACCCCACCAUCUUUCUUAGUGUCGAGAGAGACAUUAACGUGGAAAGUUUGAAUACCAGAAAAAUCUUUUAGAUACCUCUGGCAUUUCAUCAAUGUCCUAGAGUGCAUGGCAAGAUUUGGCAUGGUUUUUGUUUUGCAUUACCAAGUUGAUCCCGUGGCCUAAAUAACAUGUCUAGGAGGCUUGUUUUAACCCUUAACCUAACCCUGGUAGGUUUGAAGUGAAUUGGAGACAUUUAGGAGUGCCCAACAAUUUGUCGAGCACAUGGCGUGCGUGCUCUGGGCGCGGCCAAAGCGCAGGUAUUUUUCAUAUUUUCCAAAAAUAAACUCCGUAAAUUUUCAGGACGUUCUGAGAACUUUGAUUUCUGCACAAAAAACAACACCAAGGCAAUUUUGCUGAAAACAACGUCAGUCCAGGUUAGUUCCGUUCAAAUCAUGCAAAUUAGAGUCCAAAACAAGGGCAAAAGAGUUUGGAAAAGUAGAUACGAUGGAGACGUAUCAACUCCCCCAAGCUUAAAACCUUGCUUGUCCUCAAGCAACUCAGUUCACAAACUGAGAGAGAAAGAAAAACUUUGACAAACUCUGUUUGAUCUUGUUGUUGCAACUAUGUCUAACUCAUAACCAGAAUUUCAGCAAGAUCACAAGUUAACCACAUAAGCAAGUAACACAAAGGUCUCACGGUAAACUAAUAUCAAUGGCAUAAUCAGCUAACGACCAAAUAAUAAUGAGUUUCAAAUACCAACACUUCAAUCAAAACAAGCAUGAAGCAAUAUGAAUAGGUGGUAUCUCGCUAGCUCUUUCUGAGACCGCAAAACAUAAAUGCAGAGCACUUUCAAAGAUCAAGGGCUGAUUAAACAUUGUAAUUCAUAGCAACGAAGAUCCAGUCAUAGUCAUACUCAAAAUCAAUCAAAAGCAAAGCACCAAAAUGACAGAGGUGCUCUCUAAUUGGCACUUAUAUAAGAAGAGGAUGACUCGACAGGAAAAUAAAUAGAUAGGCCCUUCGCAGAGGGAAGCAUUGAUUUGCAGAGGUGCCAGAGCUCAAGCUUUGAAAACAGAGAUAAUAAUUUUGGGUGGCAUGCUUUCAUUGUCAACGCAAUGACCAAGAGUUCUCAAUAUCUUCCAUGCUACUCAUGCUAUAGGAGGUUCCCAAACAGAAAAGUAAAGUUUUAACUCCCCCACCACCAAUCAAUCAUACUCCACGGCUAGCCGAAUCCUCGGGUACCGUCCAUACUAACAUCAGUCCGGGGGGAGUCUUGUUUUACAGUUAUGUUUUCGAUUUAAGCGUGGAACUGGGCAUUCCAAUUACCGACCCCUCUCUCGUGAAUGACAGUGAAAGGACACAUGUCGAGGAUAAAACUCCUAGCAUGGAAGAUACCACUAGCCCCCUGUCACCACAUGAGCGGUUCGGGCAUGCAAAACAGAUUAUUUCUUGAAGGUUUAGAGAGUGGCACAUGCAAGUUUACUUGGAACGACGGGUAGAUACCGCAAAUAGGUAGGUAUGGUGGACUCUCAUGGAAAAACUUUUGGGUUUAUGGAAGUGGAUGCAUAAGGAGUAUUCCGCUUAGUACAAGUGAAGGCUAGCAAAAGACUGGGAAGUGACCAACUAGAGAGCGACAACAGUCAUCAAGAUGCAAUGAGUUUGACUAACAUUGAAUGCAAGCAUGAACAGGAUAUAAAUCACCAUGAACACGAACAUCAUAGAGGCUAUGUUGAUUUUGUUUCAACUACCUGCAUGAACAUGCGCCAAGUCAAGCCACUUGAAUCAUUCAAAGGAGAAUACCAUCCUAUCAUACUACAUCAUAGUCAUUUAAAAAUCUAUGCUGGCAUUCAAGACAAACCAUUAUAAGCUCCUAGCUAAAUAAGCAUGGCAUCAGAAACUAUGAUCUCUAAGUUUUCAUUGCAAAUAUGGUUCUCUCACAACAAAGCUGAAUCUGGGAUGACAAGAUAGUCAUAUUUACAAAAACAAAAUAGAUAGAGUUCAUACCAGCUUUUCAGUCUCAGUCACUUCAUCAUAUAUCAUCAUUAUUGCCUUUCAUUUGCACGAUCGAACGAUGUGAACAAUAAUAAGAGUUCUCGUGCAAUGGACUAAGUUGAAUCUGCAGGCAAACACAAAGGAGAAGACAAAGUAAUAUGGCUCUUUGAAAACUAAACAUUGUAACCAAUAUCUUCUACCUUGACCCAAAGAAAAAGAAAACUAUUUACACAGGAAAGCUCCCAACAAGCAAAAGAAGAAAGGAAAAUAUUUUUGUGUUUUCUCAAAAGGACACAAAACAAGAAAACAAGAAAAUGAAAAUAAACUAGCAUGGAUAAUACAGUGGCAAAGUGUGAACACUGGCUAACAAAGUGAAAACAUAAGCAUGAAUGUAAAGUCGGUGAGAACACAUACUCCCCCAAGCUUAGGCUUUUGGCCUAGCUUGGUCUACUCCCAAGGUGGGAAAUAACCAACUCUAGGAUACUCCGGAGCAGACUGUGGAUGCCACUGCUGUGUGAGCUCCUCUGGCUCCCACUGAUAAACUGGCGUCUGGUACUCGACUGGCGGCUCGGGCACGGGCGCCUGUGGUUGGGCCAAGCCCCAAUAUGUGUAGAUGCCCGAUGGCAUAAUAGUGUACCUGCCUACAUGAAGAUCGAACAAAGAAGGAGCAGGCAAAGUAAUAGUCUCUCGAGUACCCUGACUAAAUACCAGGUUAUAAAUCAUCCGUCUACUAGCAUCUCUAUCCAGAAAAUCAUGGCAGACCAUGCUGUCAUAAUCCAGAUAUUUCUUAGAAAGAAGCAUCUCUCCUUCCUCUCACAGUCUAAUGGGUAUCUCAAAGUGUGUGGCAAGAUGGGUAGCAUAGAUACCUCCAUAGAAGACACCCUUGGAACGGUGGGUGUUCAACCGCUGGGCCACUAUAGCACCUAGGCUAUAAGUCUUAUCGUUAUAAAGGCCUUCGCGCAAAACCGCAAGGUCUGGAGAACUAAGUGAUCCAGCCUCCCCACGGCCAAUCAAACAUUUUCCCACAAAUAGUGAGAAGUACCGAAGCACAGAAAAUGUAUGCUAGCAAUUCUAGCGCGAUUCACUCCUCUCUCCUCUCCAACAGCAAUAGUACCAAUGAAAUCCUCCAAGUCCCGUGGACGAGGGUCACAGAUAUCCCCAACAUAAGGUAAUUUGCAUACAUUGCAAAAAUCCUGUAGUGUCAUGCACUGGGAAACAUUGUAUAUCAUGAACUCAACCAUGGGAGGAUUCUUCCUCAGAUAAAAGUUGAAGCUUUGAACGAAAGUAUUGGUGAGGAGGAGGUAUUGUGAGCACUUAUCUGCAACGAACGCAGUAAGAUCUGCGUUCUCCACCAAGUAAUAAAAUUCUUCAUAAAGCCCAGCGGCGUGCAAAAAUUCAUCACUUGGCCAUUCACACGCUCGAACUUCCGUGACUCGAGGGACUACGUACUUGGGGUGGUUCUUCUCAUCCUCCUUGGGGUUACGGCUUGAGGAGCCUCUCAAGAACGUCCUCAUCUUUUCCUUUUUCUAGUUCUAAAAAAUUCUGAAAUUUUUAGAGACUUCGAAAGAAAAGUGAAUAAAGAUUAACCCAACUUGUAGCAACUACUCCUACUAGUGCCUAGAGUCCGUAUCACGCGCUAAAACUACUUGGGACCAGCUAAAAUCAACAUUUCUAGCUCAAGAACAGGGUCACCAAGGUAGCAAGAAUACGCGAAGGAUAAAGCACUAGAGCAAAAACUAAUUGGACCAAUGGAGGAGUCACUUACCAAGGAGUAAUUUCCCCAAAUUGGUUCGGAGAAUGGUGCUUUGAGCAAGGAGAUCAAAAAUCACAGCCAAAUGAGCAAGAACACGGGUUUUAGCUGCGAAACAAUUUUUUCUAGAGGUGGAAGAAGAGGAUGGGAGCUGGAAGGAAUGGAGGGGGUCCCUGUGGGCCCCACAAGCUUGCUAGCCGCCACCAGAGGGGUGGCGGUGUCAGGGCAUGUGGCCCAGUGGUCAGGCCACCAGGCCAGCUCUCGGGCCCAGUAAUUUUCAAAUAUUCCAGAAAAAAUCAUACUAAAUUUUCAGGACCAUCGGAGAACUUUUAUUUUCGGGGUAUUUUCCUCCGGGACGCUAAAACAGAAAACAUGAAAACUAAACUAAAUCUAUCAUUUUUCUUCUAAGCAACAGAAAAUGAAAGCUCAAAACAGAGGUAUGUGACUCUUUUAUUCAUCCAUUUCAUGGUCAUCGAAAUAAAUCCGUCAAUGGGGUUGAUCAAGUCCUCAUGACAAAACCUUCUCGAAUCGCAAGAGAGAACGGAGAAUUUUCGAAUAGCCACUAAGUCACCUCAAUGGGGAUAUGUAUCUCCCCAACAAGCAAAUCAUACUUCAUCUUGACACGAGGAAUAGGGCAUUCAAAGCUCCCAAUAAGAAUCGAUGAAGUAUUUUCGAUAGCAUUGAUGCAAUGUACUUGAUAUCGUUUCUUCGGAAAGUGCACUGUGUGCUCAUUACCGUUGCCAUGGAAAGUGACAUUGCCUUUGUUGCAAUCUAUAACAGCCCCUGCAGUGUUUAAAAAGGGUCUUCCGAGGAUGAUAGCCAUGGCAUCGUCCUCGGGAAUAUCCAAGAUAACAAAGUCUGUUAAGAUAGUGGUGUUAGCAACCACAACACGCACAUCCUCGCAAAUGCCGAUAGGGAAAGCAAUUGAUUUGUCAGCCAUUUGCAGAGAAAUUUCAGUGGGUGUCAACUUAUCCAAUUCAAGUCUAUGAUAAAGAGAGAGCGGCAUAACACUAACACCGGCUCCAAGGUCACAUAAGGCAGUUCUUACAUAGUUUUCUUUAAUGGAACAACGUAUAGUGGGCACUCCGGGAUCACCAAGUUUCUUAGGAGUUCCACCUUUGAAAGUGUAAUUGGCGAGCAUAGUAGAGAUCUCAAGAUCUGGUAUCUUCCGUUUAUUAGUCACGAUAUCUUUCAUGUACUUGGCAUACGGACAUAUCUUGAGUAUAUCAGUUAACCGCAUCUGCAAAAAGAUGGGUCUUAUCAUCUCAACAAAGCGCUCAAAAUCCUCAUCAUCCUUUUUCUUGGAUGGCUUAGGAGGAAAGGGUAUAGAUCUCUUAACCCAUGGCUCCCUUUCUUUACCAUGCUUCCUAGAAGUGAAGUCAUUCUUGUCGUAUCUCUUAGGUUGUGGGUUAUCAGGAUUAACCGUAGGUUCAAUCUCGACAUCCUCAUUAUUGCUAGGUUGAGCAUUAUUAUGAACAUCACUGUCCAUAUUGUCACCAGGUUCAUGUUCAUCACCAGAUUGUGUUUCUGCAUCAGACGCAGAAAUAUCAUUAGGUUCUUCAGGUGUGACAGUAUUUGGUGAACUGGCACGUAGGUUUCUAUCAUCCUUCUUCUUCUCCUUAGGAUGACUGGGUGUAUCAGCAUUAAUUCCUUGAGAAUCUUGAUCAAUUCUCUUAGGAUGACCUUCAGGAUACAAAGGUUCCUGAGUCAUUUUGCCUCCUCUAGUAAUGACUCUGACAGAGUUGUCAUUUAAUUCAUUGAGCAGGUCAUUCUGAGCUUUAAAUACUUGUUCUACCUCAGUAGUAAUCAUAGAGGCAUGUUUACUCAGAAGCUUCAGAUCAUUGAAAUUUCUGUCUAAUCAAGCACUUGGAUGGCUAAGCAUACGAGUACUUUGUUCCAAAUGUCUGCUAACGUAAUCAUUGAAACUCUGUUGUUUGGCAACAAAGUUGUCAAAUUCAUCAAAGCAUAGGCUAGCAGGUUUGUCAAAAAGAAUAUCACUCUCAUCAAACCUACGCAGAGAAUUCACUUCUACUACUUGUAUCGGGUUAUCGAGACCAUGGAUCUCUUCGAUAGGUGGUAGAUUUUUGACAUCUUCAGAUCUAAUGCCUUUCUCUUGCAUAGAUUUCUUGGCUUCUUGCAUAUCUUCGGGACUGAGGAAUAGAAUACCUCUUUUCUUUGGAGUUGGCUUAGGAGGUGGUUUGGGAAUAGUCCAAGCACUAUCGUUGAUCAAGAUGUUAUUCAGUAGGGUCUCAGCUUGUUCUACAGUUCGUUCCCUAAAAACACAACUGACACAACUAUCUAGGUGGUCUCUAGAGGCAUCGGUAAGUCCAUUAUAAAAGAUAUCAAGUAUCUCGUUCUUCUUAAGAAGGUGAUCAGGCAAAGCAUUCUAUAGCUGGAUGAGCCUCCCCAAGCUUGUGGGAGACUCUCUUCUUGGAGUUGAGCAAAGUUGUAUAUUUCCUGCAAGGCAGUUUGCUUCUUAUGGGCAGGGAAAUAUUUCUCACAGAAGUAAUAGUUCAUAUCGUGGGGACUACUCACACAUCCAGGAGCAAGAGAGGUGAACUAGGCUUUAGCGUCAUCCUUUAGAGAGAAAGGAAAUAGUUUAAGGAUAUAGUAGUGGCGGAUCUUCUCCUCACUAGUGAAAAGGGUGGCUAUAUCGUGUAGUUUGGUAAGAUGGGCUACGACCUUCUCAGACUCAUAACCGUGGAAAGGAUCAGGUUUGCCUAGAGAGAUUAUCUGAGGGUCAAUAGAGAAUUCAUAAUCCUUAUCGGUGAUAAAGAUAGGUGAAGUAGCAAACUUCGGGUCGUAUUUCAUCCUAGCUUUCACAGAUUUUUCCUACCACUUGAGAAGUAAUUUCUCAGUGUCAUAGGCAUCCUUACACGCAAGAAAAUCCUCAGCUAUCUCUCCCUCCAUAACGUAACCCUCAGGUAUAUUAGGCAAUUCAUAUCUAGGAGAGCUAGAUCUAGCAGGAGCAAAAGCAGGUUCUAUCUCAAUAGUAUCGACAAUUUCAGAAGCAUCACGAGCAUUGGCAGUAACUCUAGCAAUAUGAGCAUCAAGGNNNNNNNNNNNNNNNNNNNNNNNNNNNNNNNNNNNNNNNNNNNNNNNNNNNNNNNNNNNNNNNNNNNNNNNNNNNNNNNNNNNNNNNNNNNNNNNNNNNNGGCAGACGACAAAGGGAGCGCCCAUUAUGGGGUGGGAGGGGUGUGUGGUGCGCCGCCCCAUGCUCUUUGCCGUCUUCCCUCCUGCUCUUUGCCGUGCGCCAGCAGACGACAAAGACAAUACUCAUGGCAACGAGUAUGUUUGCCAUCACUCUGCUCUUUGCCGUUAGUUUUCGGGUGACCGACGACAAAUAGGGUCUUUGCCAUCAGCCAGCAGACGACAAAGAAGAGGCUGACGGCAAAUAAGUGAAUUCUAGUAGUGCACUUCUCUUUAGAGAGAUCAAUAUGAGCAGCAAAUGAUUCACACAAUGAAGCUACUAUCUCAGAGUCAAGUCCAUAUUUAGCGCUAAAAUCACAGAAAGUAUUUGUUUCAACAAAGGAUUUAACGCAAUCAAACUUAAGAUUCAUACCUGGCUCCUUACCUUCAUCAAACUCCCAAUCUUCAGAGUUGCGUUUAAUUCUCUCCAAUAAAUUCCAUUUGAAGUCAAUAUCUCUCUUCGUAAAAGAACCGGUACAAGAAGAGUCAAGCAUGGUGUGAUUAUCAUGAGAAAGCCGAGCAUAGAAGUUCUGAAUGAUUAUUUCUCUCGAAAGCUCAUGGUUGAGCCAUGAAUAUAACAUUGAUUUAAGCCUCCCCCAAGCUUGAGCGAUACUUUCUCUAUCACGAGGCCAAAAAUUAUAGAUAUAAUUCCGAUCACUAUGUACCACAUGCAUAGGAUAAAACUUUUGAUGAAAUUCUAACUUCAACCGGUUGUAGUUCCAUGAUCCAGUAUCAUCACAUAGCCUAUACCAUGUCAAUGCUUUAUCCCCCAAAGAUAAGGGAAAGACCUUCUUCUUGACCUCAUCCUCGGGCAAACCUGCAAGCUUAAAUAAACCACAAACUUCACCUACAUAGAUUGGAUGCAAGUUGUGAUGUGAUGUUCCAUCUGCUGUAGAAGGAUUAGCCAACCGUUUCUCUAGCAUACCCGAAGGAAUUUCAUAACAAGUAUUUUCAGUAGGUGCAUCAUGUUGAGGAGCAACUGCUUGUGCUUCCGUUCGAGGUGAAGAUACCCCGAACAGGCUCGUCAAAUGAUUAGUUUCCAUAGUGACAAGUGACAAUAAAUUUCAGCACACUAUAUAAAUGUUUCCUUACCAAAUUCCACUUAAAAAGGCGCUUCACUCCCCGGUGAUGUCAGCUGAGCUAAUGCACAAAAGUCCUUCCAAUGGCGCCAGAAACAGGUGUGUCGACGACACCAGGAAUCCUUCAGCUGCGGCUACGCCUUAAGGGACUUCCUAGGGAAGUAUGCAAAGGAUUUCCCCCGUGGCCUUGGAGCCUUGCGUUGGUGUUCCCUUGAAGCGGAAAGGGUGAUGUAGCACAGCGACGGUAAGUAUUUCUCUCAGUUUGAGAACCAAGGUAUCAAUCCGGUGGAGGAGUAUCACAGGAUCCUGCACAAACACAAAAGCUUGCUCCCAACGCUAUGAAGGGGUUGUCAAUCCCUUAUAGGUUGUUUGCCAAGUGAGAACUGAAAGCAACAAAGUAACAAAGCAAAGUAAAAGCGGAGGUGUAAACGAUGGAUGUGAAUAGGCCUGGGGGCCGUAGUGUUACUAGUGGCUUCUCUCAUGAAAGCAAGUAGACGGUGGGUGAAAAAAUUACUGUCGAGCAAUUGAUAGAACCGCGCAAAGUCGUGACGAUAUCUAUGCAAUGAUUAUAUCUAUAGGCAUCAUGUCCAAAACAAGUAGACCGAUACUUUCUGCAUCUACUACUAUUACUCCACACGUCGACCGCUAUCCAGCAUGCAUCUAGUGUAUUAAGUCCAUAAGAACAGAGUAAUGCCUUAAGGAAGAUGACAUGAUGUAGAGGGAUAAUCUCAAACCAAUGAUAAAAACCCCAUCUUUUUACCCUUGAUGGCAACUACUUGAUGUGUGCCUUGCUGCCCCUACUAUCACUGGGAAAGAUCACCACAUGGUAGAACCCAAAACCAAGCACUUCUCCCAUUGCAAGAAUCAUAGAUCUAGUUGGCCAAACAAAACCCAAGACUCGGAGAGACUUACAAGGAUAUCAAAUCAUGCAUACAAGAAAUCAACAAAGACUCAAAUAUAUAUAAUAGAUAAUCUGAUCACAAAUCCACAAUUCAUCGGAUCUCGACAAACACAUCGCCAAAGAAGAUUACAUCGGAUAGAUCUCCAUGAAGAUCAUGCAGAACUUUUUAUUGAAGAUCCAAGAGAGAGAAGAAACCAUCUAGAUACUUACUACGGACCCGUAGGUGUGAAGUGAACUACUCACGAGUCAUUGGAGGUGCGAUGAUGAUGAUGAAGAAGCCCUCCAACUCCAAUGUCCCCUCCGACAGGUCGCCGGGAAGGGUCUCUAGAUGAGAUCUCGCGGAAACGGAAGCUUGCGGCGGCAGAAAAGUAUUUUCGAGGCUCCCCUGAUUUUUUGCGGAAUAUUUGGGAAUUUAUAGGCCAAAGACCUAGGUCAGGGGGCGGCUAGGGAGGCCACAAUCCUGCCCACCACCGCCUCCCCCCUGGUGGUGGAGUGGGGGCUUGUGGGCUCCCUGGAGCCCACCUGGCUUGGCCCAAAAGCCCCCUGGUCUUCUUACGUUCGGGAAAAAAUCAUUUCGGGGUUUUUCUUCUGUUUGGACUCCGUUCCAAAAUCAGAUCUGAAAAGAGUCAAAAACACACAAAAAACACGAACUGGCACUUGGCACUUGGCACUUAAUUAAUAAGUUAUUCCCAAAAAAGAUAUAAAAGGUACAUAAAACAACCAAAGAAGACAAGAUAACAGCGUGAAACCAUCAAAAAUUAUAGAUACAUUUGAGACGUAUCAAGAAUCCCCAAGCUUAACUCCUGCUCGUCCUCGAGUAGGGAAGUGAUAAGAAUGAAUUUUUGAUGCUUUCAUGCUACCUAGCAUAGGUGUCCUUUGUAAUUCCUCUUAUAUGACGUGAAUGUUCAGAUCCAUUAGAUUCAAAACAAUAGUUUGCUAUUGACAUGGAAACAAUAAUAAUUCAAGCAAACUAGCAAAGUAAUCAUGAACUUUCAAAAUAACAAGGCCAAAAGAAAGUUAUCCCUACAAAAGCUUAUAGUCUGGCUAUGCUCUAUUAUCAUUGCCCAACGAAUUUAAAUCAUGCACAACCCCGGUAUUGGCCAACUAAUUGUUUCACACCUUUACUUUCUCAAACCUUUUCAACUCUCACGCAAUACAUGAGCGUGAGCCAUGGUUAUAGCACUAUAGAUGGUGUGGAAUGUGGUGGAGGUUGCAAGAAAAAAAAGGAGAAGAUAGUCACAUUAACUAGGCAUAUCAAUGAGCUGUGGAGAUGCUCACGAAUAGAUAUCAAUGUGAAUGAGUAGGUAUUGCCAUACAAAUGAUGCACUAGAGCUGCGAGUAUGUGAAAGCUCUUAAAGAAAACUAGUGGGUGUGCAUCUAACUUGCUUGCUCACCAAGACCUAAGGCAAUUUUGAGGAAGCCUAUCAUUGGAAUAUACAAGCCAAGUUAUAUAAUGAAGAUUUUCCCACUAGCUAUAUGGUGGUGACAAAAGGAGAGACUCUCAAUCUUGAAGAUCAUGGUGCUCAAUAUGCACAAGUGUGGAAAAAGUGGUAAUAUUGUCCCUUCUCCCUUUUUCUCUCAUUUUUUUUGUUUGGUGGGCUCUUUGGCCUUCUUUUUUUGUGGGCUUCUUUGGCCUCUUUUAUUUCCUCACAUGGGACAAUGCUCCAUUAAUGAUGAUCAUCACACUUUCAACUCAAAACUUAGAGCAAUGAUGACUCUAUCUGAAAUGCCUUCGGUAGUAUACCGUGGCAAUGAUCUAGCAUGGCAUAGACAUCAAUGGAAACAUCAUGCUAGCUAUCUUAUGAUCAUGCAAUGGCAAUGUAGACGUGGUGGCACAUGUCAUGGUGGUAGUUGCAUGAUAAUAUAUCUCGGAAUGACUUUGAAAAAGCCAUAGUAUGUAGGUAUGGUGGCUGUUUUGAGGGAGGCUAAUGGUGGGUUUUGAGGGAGGCGAAAGUUGCACGGUACUAAGAAGAUANUAAACCAUCGCGCGAUCCCGACCGCCACGCAAAGGAUGACAAUCAAUAUACUAAUCAUGCUCAGAUUUCAUCACAUAGUGGUUCACCAUACGUGCAUGCUACGGGAAUCACUAACUUCAACUCAAGUGUUUCUAGAUCCACAACACCUUAGUAGCAUGACUUCAAUAUUACCAUAGCCACAACUCAAAACUAAUUGAGAUGAAUCAAACUUCUCUAACUAUUCAAUGCACAUGAAGGUGGAAGUUUUCGUAUCCCUUUGGAUAACUACCCCUUUUGAGACUACCUUCAAAGCAUAGAUCAACUACCAAGCCACGCACCGCUGUGCUCUAAAAGAUAUAAGUGAAGUACAUAGAGCAAAAGUAUCUAGCACAAAAGAUAUAAGUGAAGCACAUGUGAGCUGAAUUGUCUACCAAAAGAUAUAAGUGAAGCUCGACAAAAUCACGGUGUGUGCAUGUCUCUCUCUCUAGGUGUGAAGCAAGGAUGAUUGUAACACAACAAAAAUAAAAGACUCCUACGAUAAAAGACGCCCCAAGCAAAAACACAUAACAUGUGGUGAAUAAAAAUAUAGCCCCAAGUAACGUUACCGAAGGAUUGAAGACAAGAGAGGGGAUGCCUUCUCGGGGCAUCCCCAAGCUUAGGCUUUUAUGGCAUCCUGUAAUCUCUUGGGGUGCCUUGGGCAUCCCCAAGCUUGAGCUCUUGCCACUCUUUAUCUCUUUGUCCAUAAGAACUUCACCCAAAACUUGAAAACUUCACAACACGAAACUUAAACAGAAACUCGUGAUAACAUUAGUACAAGAAAGCAAACCACCACUUCCUCAGGUAUUGUAGCAAACUUAAAUUCUACUUGUGCUGAUGUUGGGUUACUGUAAUUUCAAUUUUCUAUGGCUAAUACCCCCCGAUACAAUCCAUUGUUUCAUCAAAAUAAGCAACCAACACAACAAAAACAGAAUCUGUUAACAGCAGACCAGUCUGUAGCAAUCUGUAUAUUUCAUAUACCUCUAGUACUUCACAAAUUCUGAAAGAUUACUAUGGUCUGAAGAAUUUGCGUAACAAUCAGUAGAAAAAAGAAUAAACUCAAAAGCUCUUACAGAAAAAAACUGAAAAUUCUUUUCGUGAGCAGAAAGUUUCUGUCUUUUCCAGCAUGACCAAACGAUCAUCCCCAAGACUAAUCAUAACGGUUUUGCUUGGCACAAACGCAAAAAAGAAACACAAAAACACAAUCAUAACAGAAUUAUGAAAGUGUGGAAAACACAAAAUAGAAAGAAAAAGGAUAGAUUCUUUGUGUUGCCUCCCAACAAGCGCUUUUGUUUAAUGCCCUUAGCUAGGCGAAAGGUGAUGAAAUCAUGUAUAGUCAUCUUUGGUGCUCAAACCAUAGGUAGCCCUCAUCAUGGAUACAUAAGGCAAACUUAUUUUAUUUCUAGGAAAGUUCUCCAUGCCCUUCUUUAAAGGAAAUUGAAAUCUAAUAUUCCCUUCCUUCAUAUCGAUGAUAGUACCAAUAGUCCUUAGGAAAGGUCUACCAAGAAUAAUGGGACAUGAAGGAUUGCAAUCUAUGUCAAGUACAAUGAAAUCCACGGGUAGAUAGUUCUUAUUUGCAAUAAUAAGAACAUCAUCGAUCCUCCCCGUGGUUUUCUUGACAGUAGUUUCCGCAAGAUGCAAAUUAAGAGAACACUCUUCAAUCUCAUGAAAACCAAGAAUAUCACAUAAAGACUUUGGAAUCGCGGAAACACUAGCACCCAAAUCACACAAAGCAUUGCACUCAUAGUUUUUGAUCUUGAUUUUGAUAGUAGGUUGCCACUCAUCAUGAAGUUUUCUAGGUAUAGAGACUUCUAGUUCGAGCUUCUCUUCAAGAGAUUUCAUCAUAGCAUCUACGAUAUGCGCGGUAAAGGCUUUGCUUUGGUUAUAAGCAUGUGGAGAGUUUGCAAUGGAUUGCAUCAAAGAAAUGCAUUCAAACAAGGAGAAACUAUCAUAAUUGAAUUCCUUGAAAUCCAAAGUGGGAGUUUCAUUACUACCCAAAAUUUUGACUUCUUCUACUCCACUCUCGACACCUUUAUCAUCAAGAUAGGUGGACUCCGAAUCAUUGGGGCAUUUUUCAACCAAAGUGGAUUCAUAUCCAGCCCCUCCAUAAGUACAUUUGACACGAGAAAACAAAGAUUCAAGAGGAGACACACCAAGCACUUUAAGAUCGUGAUUUUCAUCACUAGAACGCACCCUUUUAAACCAUUCAUGUCUAGCGCGAAUUUGGGUGGUUCUUUCUUUGCUCUCAUUCAUGGAGAUACACAUAGCUUUCAAAGUUUCAUCCAAGUUGACCUUGGGAGGAGCGCAUCUAACUUUCAAAGCAUCAAUAUCACAAGACAUUCCAUCAACGCUCUUAGCCAAAUCGUCUAUUUUGAGUAGUUUUUCCUCUAUGGACGCAUUGAAAAUCUUUUGAGAGUUGAUGAACUCUUUGAUAUUACUCUCUAGAUCACAGGGUUAUUUGUUGUGAUUUCCAUAAGUGUUGCCGUAGGAAUUGCCAUAAUUGUUAGAGUUACUAGGAAAAGGCCUAGGAACAUAGUUUCCUCUAAAAGCAUUGUUGUUGCCAAAAUUGUUCCUACCAACAAAAUUCACGUCCAAAAUAGCGUUGCUACUCUCAAUCAAAGAAGAUAGUGGCAUGUCAUUAGGAUCUACGGUAGCGUUUAUACUAGCAACCAAAUUCAUCAACUCGUCCAUCUUAGCACUAAGCGAGUUAAUUUCUUCUAUAGCGUGCACCUUUUUGCUAGCAGGCGACCUUUCAGUGUGCCACUUAGAGUAGUUGGUCAUGAUAUUGUCUAGGAGUUUUGUAGCGUCUCCUAACGUGAUUUCCAUGAACGUUCCACCUGAGGCGGAGUCCAAGAUAUUGCGAGAAGUGAAAUUCAAGCCAACGUGAAAGAUUUGUAUAAUCAUCCACAAACUGAAGCCAUGAGCGGGACAAUUUCUAAUCAUAAGCUUCAUCCUCUCUCAAGAUUGUGCAACGUGUUCAUGAUCAAGUUGCUUGAAAUUCAUGAUAUCGUUACGUAAGGAGAUGAAAAUACUUGGAUAUGUAAGCAUCUUUGCACUUAUCCCAAGAAUCGAUACUAUUUUUAGGCAAAGAAGAAAACCAAGUUUUUGCGCGAUCUCGCAACAAGAAAGGAAAAAGUUUCAACUUAAUCAUGUCAUUAUCCACAUCUCUUUUCUUUUGCAUAUCACAAAGCUCAAUGAAGGUAUUGAGAUGGGAUGUGUCAUCUUCACUAGGAAGGCCAGAGAAUUGCUCUUUCAUAACAAGAUUCAGCAAAGCUGCGUUGAUUUCAUACGAUUCCACACUAGUGGCGGGAGCAAUCGGAGUACUAAUAAAAUCAUUAUUAUUAGUGCUCGAGAAGUCGCAAAGUUUGGUGUUUUCAGACAUGAUGUCUUCAACAAACAAACAAGCACACAAGAAAGCAAGAGAACCAGCAAAGGAAAGAGAAAACGGCGAAGGCGAAAGGCGAAUGAAAACGGCAAAUGUGAAGUGGGGGAGAGGAAAACGAGAGGCAACUGGCAACAAAAGUAAAUGCAAGAGAAGAGUUUGUGAGACCUACUUGGAUAGAUCUUGAUUUCUCCUCCCCGGCAACGGCACCAGAAAUGCUUUUGAUGUCAGCUAAGCUAAUGCACAAAAGUCCUUCCAAUGGUGCCAGAAACAGGUGUGUCGAUGGCACUAGGAAUCCUUCAGUUGCGUCUACGCCUUAAGGGACUUCCUAGGCAAGUAUGCAAAGGAUUUCCCCUGUGGCCUUGGACCCUUGCGUUGGUGUUCCCUUGAACCGGAAAGGGUGAUGUAGCACAACGACGGUAAGUAUUUCCCUUAGUUUGAGAACCAAGGUUUCAAUCCGGUGGAGGAGUAUCACAAGAUCCUGCACAAACACAAAAGCUUGCUCCCAACGCUAUGAAGGGGUUAUCAAUCCCUUAUAGAUUGUUUGCCAAGUGAGAACUGAAAGCAACAAAGUAACAAAGCAAAGGAAAAGCGGAGGUGUAAACGAUGGAUGUGAAUAGACCCGGGGGCCGUAGUGUUUACUAGUGGCUUCUCUCAUGAAAGCAAGUAGACGGUGGGUGAAUAAAUUACUGUCGAGCAAUUCAUAGAACCGCGCAAAGUCGUGAUAAUAUCUAUGCAAUGAUUAUAUCUAUAGGCAUCAUGUCCAAAACAAGCAGACCGAUACUUUCUGCAUCUACUACUAUUACUCCACACGUCGACCGCUAUCCAGCAUGCAUAUAGUGUAUUAAGCCGAUAAGAACAGAGUAACGCCUUAAGCAAGAUGACAUGAUGUAGAGGGAUAAUCUCAAACCAAUGAUAAANUUUUUACCCUUGAUGGCAACUACUUGAUGUGUGCCUUGCUGCCCCUACCGUCACUCGGAAAGGUCACCACAUGGUAGAACCCAAAACCAAGCACUUCUCCCAUUGCAAGAAUCAUUGAGAUGGUGCUGAUGAAGAUGUUGAUGGUGAUGAGUCCUCUCCGAUGAGAGGAGUGUUGGUGAUGACGAUGGCGAUGAUUUCCCACUCUGGGAAGGAAGUUUCCCCGGCAGGACGGCCCUGCCAGAGCUGUAGAUUGGUUCUGCUCAAGAUUCGCCUCGUGACGGCGGCAACUCCUCCCGAAAGCCUCCUCUUGAUUUUUUAUGGAAUGAAACCCUCCUUAUAGCAAAAGAGGGGAUCUAGAGCGCCAACAGGGAGCCCACGCCCCCCCCCCCCCCCCUAGGCGCGGCCUGGGGGGUAGGCCGCGCCUAGCAGGCUUGUGGCCUCCUGGUGGCUCCCCUGUGGUACUUCUUCCGCCCAGUAUUUUUUUAUAAAUUCCAAAAUAAUUCCUCGUUGAUUUUCACUGCUUUUGGAGUUGCGCAGAAUAGGCAUCUCAAACUUGCUCCUUUUUUAGGCCAGAAUUCCAGCUGCUGGCAUUCUCCCUCUUCAUGUAAACCUUGUAAAAUAAGAGAGAAAAGACAUAAGUAGUGUACCGUGAAGUGUAAUAACAGCCCAUAAAGCGAUAAAUAUCAACAUGAAAGCAUAACGCAAAAUGGACGUAUCAGGUGCUAGCGGCUAUUUGCAGGUUUUGAAGAAGCAGACGAGGAGUGUCAAAAAAUAAGAGUGGGAGUGCUAAGAAAAAACCCUUGAUUCCUUUGAAAAUUUAGGAGAGAUGAGAAGAUACACGUUUUGCAAGUAGUUUUGAAGGGUCUCGAAAGCAGUUUUAUCCUAACUAACAUCCGUGCUAACUAAGGGCUUCCUAUAGUCAGGAUGGCUGUGAUACCAGCUCUGUGGGGACCCCGACUUACGAGUCGAGAUCGUCGAACGAACGUGCUCAGUGAUCCCAGAGAUCAAUGCUCACAGAACACACAGAAACUGAAUCACAAGAGUCUUACAUCCAUACAUACCGUUUGAUACAAUAAAUGUCCAUUGUGGUCAAGUCUUACAUAUAUAGGGCCUUGAGGGCCAACACACCAAACUGGACAAAUAGCAGAAAUAUUGGUCGAAAGUGUGAACCCAUGCCAUCAGCCUUAACCUACAGGCAUUCUCACUCGGAAGCCUCCUAGCUCGGAAGAACGUCACCGAGUUACUCUUCACCAUAUCCUGUUCUCUCAGACCUGGUGAAUGAAAUAACCAGUGGCAAGCCAAUGAGUAGCUUGAUUGUACUCGCAAACAGCCCAUGAUAUGAUAAUGCAGUUGGUACGGUAACAAGUAAUAUGCAGUAUUGGUGGAUAGCGGCUUGACUGUAAAUAACAUGAUCAUAGAUGGAUGUGCAACAUAAGCUAGAUGCUGUUUAGAAGAACGGGUUACAGAUAUCAAUAUAUCUGCCAAGGGCUGAACGCUCCGGGUUCACCCAAUAUGCCAAGUCACCAAACUUGGUCAUAUCAAUUCUUUCAUAUUAACACCAUUAAACACACACACACUUGGUUUAUGCGGAAACGACUAGACGUAGUUUAAGCAGCACCACCCAACUUUCCUAGACCGUGCACAUGGCUAUUCGAAUAGUUUGACACUGUGCAGAGGUUGUACGCUAUACCCACGAGAUUCGGGAAACUUCCAUGUCAUCCACGACUCACGGUAUAUAACAUACCCGAGUUAAGUACCCGAUCAAUGCCUUUCCACUGACGAUACUAGACAAAUAGGUCCACUCGAUUGGUACCCAGCCCACAUGAUGCACGUCUUACGAGCACUCACUCUGGACAGUAUCAUCCAUGCGGGGACCAACAGUGUGCCCGGAACACGUAAAAACGGCCUAGUCGCUCUACCUGGCACGACCCCAUCACGAGAGUGACCACACAUCACUCCCGUCAAUAGUAAUGUGGCUCUUUGCUAGCACCGACCAGAGUAAUCAACAAAGCCCCGUCCCAUAAAGGGGUAACGUGGUCGCACAUGUAAGGUUGGGACGGUCGACACACCAUAAAUCCAAUCCCAUUUCCAAAACCACUCACACCAAAAUACACCUGGUGCACCACUUCUCCAAAAGAGGCCACCAAUCUCAUCAUCACCCUCAUGCAUUAGUGGCACCCGACGGGGUUUUCAUAAAUCUUUGAUAUUUACCAUCAGCAUGCUCAUGCUUCUACUAUGCUUAGCCCUACUUGUCAACAGGUAUUAGCGUGACCCUGAUAGGUGGUAGGAUCUUGCUCAAAAUGCAAGUGCUCCGGAGGAGCCAUCGGUAACAUCAGUUCGAUGAUUUACCGAAUACUUAUGAUCGUAUGCAACGGGAAUAAUUUCUCUACUAGCAUGCAAUAUAGUAUUUUCUCAGACUUGGUCAAAGGGCUGCUUGCCUUUGCUCACAAGUCCUCGGGGUCUUCGAGGUCUUCUGGUUCAACUUCGAGUACUCUGUUUAGUCCAUCAACUUACGUCGAAAACAACACAGUAAGACACGCAACAAGCAGAAAUAGAAGUUCUACAUAAAUAGGAGUUAUGUUUUUCUUGGACCUCUCUAGUCAUAUGAAAAAUACCUGAAUCUUGCCAUAGGAGACCGGGAUCAUCAGAAAAUUUUGAGUGAACAAAAAGAGGAAUAUGUGAUCUUAAUGGGAGUCUACAGAAAGUAUCAUGAUAAAAAAGAGUGGAGGCACUCAUUUAAUAGAGCAUAAUUUUAGAAAUAUUUAGGAAGUUGUUUCACUGGAUUUGGAGUUGGUAUGAAUAUUCUAUGGAUUUUCUAAUAUGGGAUAAAUAGCAAAAGGGAGCUAUAUAUUUAUUGCAACAGAAAUAUGCCAUACAAAAAUGUUGACCAAGGCUCUAAAAAUAGAGCAUGAUAUUAGAAGGCUCUCGAAUUUGGAAUCACUCCAUUUGGAGUGGAUUUGAAUCCUCUAGGAUUUUUGAAAGGGGGCUAGAAGCACUCAAUUCUUUAUUUAAAUAGAAAUAUAGUAUACAAGUGGUUUGUAAAAAUGUGCAAAGCACACUUCUUGAUAGAUCUUGAUUUUAUGGACCUGCAGAAAUUUGAAUCAUUAAAUUUGGAGCUCAAAUGAUUUUAUAAUGAAUUUUUGAAGUUUUCUGCAAAAAAAUUUGAUAAAAGCUCAGCCACAUGGCUAUCCGGCGCUCAGGCGCCGGAGAGGGAAGUGUGCCGGCUUAGCAGCUUCGGCCUGGGCGGUUGGUGGCCACGCAUAAGGUGGAAUCCACCCAAUGCACCUUAGCCUCGGGGAGGCGGGCUUGAGUGUGACGCCUCAACUUGAACGAGUGGCCCCGGGCCUCUGUCUCACCGACACGCGGGCCCCGGACAUCGGACCUAUCUUCCUCCACCUACUCGAUCUGAGAGCAGGCAGGGAGGCAGGGCAGGGCAACAACUGCUGCAUGCGCCGGUGGCUCUGGCAGCCCCCGGCGAUGGCCGGUGGUCCUGAUGAGCCAAGGGCUGCGUUGCGCCCAUCUCAGUGCCUGGCGAGCGCGGCGGAGGGCCGGAACGGCUUUAGCCGAAUUGGCUGCAGUGAGGGCGGCGAUGGUGGACGUGGGGAGCGGUGUUCCGGCCACCAGAAGGGAAGAGGAAGGAGGGGGAGCUGCGGAGAGGAGGGAGGCCUCUCGACGCAUCCUCAGGGAGGGAAGAGCUCGGGGGAGCCCGAGUUGAAGAAGGGGCCACUGGUGGCUUUGGCCAUUAGAGGAAGAGGAGAGCUCAGGGCUCGAAGGAAAAGGAUGGGAGGUCCAGGAGGUUGCAGGAGAAAGGAGGGAGUGAGGGAGAGCCCGAGAGACCUUGGGGUGAGGAGAUAAGAGAGCCCCCCCCCCCCGCUCUCAGGGCACGGAGCAUACACGCGUCUUUGGGAACUUUGGAGGCGAGCUGGGGUUGGGGAGGGCUUGGACCGGUCAAGGGGAGUGCCCUGGCGCGCUGGGACACGCGACCAUCGAUGGACCCGAGUUGUAGCAAAAGUAAAGGAUGCAGAGCACCGUUGUUGCAUGCUGCCAGGUAGGUCACCAUGGCCACUCGUGUCCACAGGGCUGCUGUGACCAGUCAAACAUGUCCAACACGUAGGGAACACAUGCAGGAAGGAGACUCUGGAGUAUGGUUGCACUUGGGGCUGGUUGGAAUUUGUUUUGGCUGUGGUUAAGAUUCCAGCUGGAAACUUGGGGCUGGCAAAGGUGGAUUUCAGAGGGGGAAACUUGGGGUGAAACUAUGUCUACACCACUGCAAAGUUUCAACUCAAGAAAGGGAGGGUAGCUAGUACUUGCUGUACAAAGCUACAUUUCAGCCACAAUUCAACUUGCAGAUGAGCAUACCAUAACUUGGUUUCUAAUGAUGCCUUGGGAUGCUAGGGACCCUCUGGAAAGAGGUGGGGGCUUUGGCUUAAGCAGAAGUGGGACAAGAGACGUAAAAAUGGUGAUCCAAGGGUAAAAAUGAGAAGUAGUUACAUGGAGCCUCUCUCGAUAAUUGAUCAGUAGCCAUGGAAAUGCUACUGGAGUAAAAAGGUAACUAGGGGAGGUUGUGGUAGAAAGUUGAGCUCAAGGGUUUGAUGAUUGUCAGGGCAACGAGAUGAACCUCAAUGGAUAUGAAACUUGACAUGAUCAAAUAAUAGAUGAAAAUCAGCUUGGAAACCAAAUUUUGGAUUGGGUGGAGAAGGUUCCCUAUGUAGACUUGGAAAACCCAUGAAAUGGGCAGACAUGGCUUUCUGCUUACAAAACUAUUCAAGUCAAUUCCCACAAAUCCAAUAUUUGGUGUGGGGCAUUAUUUGAGCAUUAAAGCCUGCCCAAAAAGUUUGGGGUCAAUUGGAGAAACUUUAUAAUGUAAAGUUUCCCAAAGUUAGAAAUCCACACACAGGGUUUUGAGGGGACUGGGACAAUUUCUUCUAUUCUCCUGGAUGCACCACUUGGUGUGGCUGCAUUAUUGGAGUAUCGGAACAUGUCUACCAAAUUUGAGUACAAUUGGAGACACUUGACAAUGUAGAGUUGCUCAAAUUUGGAUUUGGACAGAUAGGGGUUUAGAAUAAUUAGGGGAGUCAAUUCAACUUGAAUUGAGAUGAAACUUGGCAAGUUCAUCACGUAUAUCAUAUGUGAUAUGCUAGAAUUUACAGGAUUUUAUUGAGAAUAUUUUAUUAUAGAAAUAUUCGAAAAGCUUGAAAUAGGCAGGAAGGGUUUUGGAGGGGGUUGCCCAAUAUUUUGAACAUGACCAUGGGUUGAUACUCAUAUAUAUGUAAUAUAUAUGUCCACUGAGUUUCCCUAAAUUUUCUUAAUAUUUUGAAAGCAAUAAAGAUAACUUUCCUUCAUAAGAGACCAUUUCUAGCCUCACAGGAAGGCAUUUAAAUAAAAUAGUAAAAUAACUUUUAGAAUAACAAUAUUGUGGUUUCGGGUAGCCAUUUUUAUAAUGGGUUUUAAAUAAAAUAAUUGGUGCAAAAUAAAUUCCCUAAUUUGAGGACUUGUAGUAUAAAUCCCAUCUCACAGGUUUUGAAAGCUUAAUUCAAAGAAAUGAUUUUUGGUGAAAAUAAUAUUUGGUAAAAAUAGUUUCUGGUCAUAAACACAUGGCAUGAUAAUAACGCAAGGGUUUGGGUCAAGGUGGUGACUCUCAAGAGUAGAAGGAGUCAUUGAGAAUCAAACACAGGCAUACAAGCAAGCAAGCAAUAGUCACUUCAAGCAUCACAAGCAUUCACAAAAAAUUAAUUGGUCCUAAUUUUGGAAAUAAGUUAAUUAUUCAGGAAAGCUAAACACAUGGUGUUACACUGUGUCAAGAACUAUACCAGGAGUCAGUUGUAGCGUCUACUAAUAAGGCACUCACCACUGUUGGCGAAACUCCCAGGGGGAAGAGGAAGAGCAAGAAAUCAGGCAAGGUCUCUCACAAGGACUUUGUGGAGCGCACCCCACGGUGAUGUAUGCACAUCAAGGAUUCUCUUGAGACUACCACCCCAAGGAGAAAUAAGAACAAAGUGACCAUCCCCAAGAUUAGGCUAGUGGACACGCGGGAAGUCACUGAGGGUGGCACUUUCACCAUAAGUGCCACCCACGACAACAAAUAUGUAAGCACGCUUGUCUGCUUCCGGCAGGUGAACAUCAAUAUGUUUGCGUCGGAACCAUAUGAUAUCCCCGAUGUUCCUAGGGAGGUUAUCGAUCACCACCUUGCCAUUUGCCCCCCCAUUCAAGCAGAAGGUCCGAAAGAAAGCACUCGACCAAUAGGAGUUCAUUGCCGAAUAGAUCAAGAUGCUGGAAGCAGUAGGCCUGGUCAGAGGCGUCCUUCUCCCAACAUGGUUGGCGAAAGCUGUGGUAGUGUACAAGGUGAAUGGUAAGUGGAUGCUUUGCACUGACUUCACCGAUGUCAACAAGUCUUGCCUAAAGGAUCCCUUCCCUUUGCCAUGCAUCAACCAGAUAGUGCACUCGACCGCUGGCGGCAUUCGUCUAUUCUUCCUUGAAGCCUACUCAGGUUACCACCAUAUUUUCAUGGACAACGAAGAUGAAGAGAAUACAACAUUCAUCACACCAUGUGGUACGUAUGUUUCAAGCGCAUGCCAUUUGGACUGAAGAUUGCAUGAUCAACUUUCACGAGGGAUGUAAAGAUCGGUCUCAGUCCAUAGCUACACAGGAAUGUAGAAGCCUACAUGGAUGACAUUGUGGUCAAGACCAAGGCCGAAGCCACGUUGGUUCAUGACCUUGAAUAAACCUUUGACAAUUUGCGCAAGAUCAACUUGAAGCUCAACCCAAAGAACUGCAUAUUCAAAGUCCCAUCCGGCAAGCUCCUCGGUUUCUUUGUGUCAUGGUGCGGGAUAGAAGCAAACCCCACCUUGAUUAAAUCCAUUGAACAUUUGGAAGCUUCGAAGCGUGUCAAGGAUGUACACCGAUUAGCGGGCUGCAUCACCGUCCUCACCAGGUUCAUCUCCAAGUCUGCAGAACACGUCCUCCCAUUUUUCAAGAUCUUGAAAAAGGCAGGUCCUAUGAAAUGGAUCUUGGAGGCAGAGGCCGCGUUGCAUGUCUUGAAAAGGUACUUGUAUUCUCCGCCAACCCUAGUCGCACCCAGUCCCGAGGAACCAUUGCUGCUAAUGGAGGCAACAAACCAAGUGGUUUGCACUGCACUAGUGGCAGAGAGGGUAGCUGAGGAAGACGAGGCAACAUCCCCUGAGUUGGCAAACGACAAACCAGUGUCAUCCCCGGCAAGCCAAGAAGUUGACGACAAGGAUGCAACGCAAGAGGGUGGACGACAGGUUGUGCAAAAGAAGAAAAGGUGCAGCAAACAGUGUACUUUGUUAGCUCUCUCCUGUAGGGGGCUAGAUCAAGGUACUCUAUGAUACAAAAAACUACUCUUUAGCCUCAUCAUGGUCGCCCCGAGUUGCACCGCUACUACCAAGCACACCACAUAAANNNNNNNNNNNNNNNNNNNNNNNNNNNNNNNNNNNNNNNNNNNNNNNNNNNNNNNNNNNNNNNNNNNNNNNNNNNNNNNNNNNNNNNNNNNNNNNNNNNNAGCACCAGCAAUCGCCGUCGGCAUCAUCCCUCCCCUCUACCCAUGUGCGCGAGGGGAAGAAGACGAACCCCAUAGGUGGGUUCCCCUGUCCGCGAGCCAGCCUCGACACCGAUGGAGCAGAUCCCGUGGUGCAUUUUCUCUUUAGAGAUGUGUGUGAUCUGGAGUGUAUUUUCCCUUUCCCGAAAACAUAUUUGUUUUCGAAAAUGUUUUCUUCUCUAUUUUAUUAAAAAACAAAAUUUGGACGAAACUUUGACUGCUUAUAACUUUUAAACUACAACUGCAAACGAGUUGGUUCUUUUUCUGUUGUGUCUCAAAUUUCACCUAAUUUAUUGUCAUAUUUAUUUCAAAAACUUUGAAACAACUUUUAUACACUAUUUUGGAAAUGUGUGUUGAUUCCGA